UAUUCUAAUAAAUUAAAAUUUUAUUUUUAUUUAAUUUUUAAUAAAUGCACAUUGCCAAAUGCGUCCUAGGGUUAAAGAGGAAAGGGCAAAUCCUCUUAAAAGCAAUGGCUUCUCACUUUCCACUGCUCUCUCGUCUUCUUCCUCCUUCCCAUUUCUUCUUCCUUCUUCCGUGGCUUCUCAUUUCUCUCCCAAACCCAGUUCUCUCUCAGUGCCACCACACUCCAGUUAUAUUCUCUUUCGGCGAUUCCAACUCUGACACUCCGGACUCGUCGCUGGGCUUGGCUUCCCAGUCAACUUCCCCAAUGGUCGUACCUUCUUCCGCAAAUCAACUGGCCGUCUCUCCGAUGGACACCUCAAUCUUCUCUGUAAGUCAUCGCACCCGACCACUACUUUGGAUUCUCAUUUCUUCUUCCAGUGCAGGGGGUGGGAGGGUGGCUUCGUAGGAAGAAGGGUGGGGUCCCGCUGGCGGGAGACCGUGAGGAGGGGGGCUUUUCCAGCGGUGGGGGACGGCAAGAAGGGGCUUUUCUAGCGCGGGGUGGGGGUCCUACCGAUGGGGGACGACGACAAUGGAAAAAAAAAAAAAGUUGAAUUGGACGGUUCGAGGGAAACCGUCCGGUUCACCGGUCGGACCACCGGUUUAGCCGGCCUAAUUCCGGUCUGAACACUUUCCGGUUUAAAUGACCAGACUGAACAAGAAUCGUGACCGGUCGGCGGUCGGACCGGCUGGUCCUGUUCGGUUUUUAAAACCAUGGUUUUUUGUGGCAAUUGGAUAUGGGGCAGUUGCUUGUUCAAUCAUAUGUCCUUUGGAUGACUUACUAAUCUUUUAAGAACUACCUAUGAUGUGAUUGACUUGAGUCUUGCUGUUUAGGUUGCUCUCAUGUUUCUUGGAUCUGCUUAUUCUUGGAGGCAGCAUGUAUUUUCUGAAAGUGACCAGUGAAAUCAUUAUUCUCUUCUUUGUCUGGUUUCGUCAAUUUAAGUUCCUUUUUACUGUGGGCAUAAUAAUGCACGUCCUUUGGUUUUGGCAUAUAAUCCUAUAAAGUCUGUCAAUAUGGUUUUGUUUCCAUGGUUGAGCAUUGCAUACUUUUCUUUAUAUCAUGAAAAGAAUUCUGAGUGUGUCAGAAUCUUCUAUUUCGGUCAUUUUGAUACUUUCCUGGGCUCUGUGUAAGCUGAAGCUUGUCUUGUUCUUCUUAACAAAGGCAUGAGUUCAAGCAUAAUCAUGAAGAAUGGAUCAAUUCAGUGAAGCCUAUCCUUGAUGCUUCUAUUUCAUCACAAUUACAUGAUGUAUUGGAGGUGGCAGAUACUGAGAUUGAAAACUGUCAAUCAUCCAGGAUGGAAAUACGUUCUGCUCUUAACUCUCUUUUGAAGGUACUGAAUUUAUACUGCAGUGUGUGGUACAUAUUGCAGAACUUCUAUAUCAUUAAUGAGUCAUCUAAUCAUAAGUACUGAAUUUAUAUCAUAUAUGAUUCUCUGGGUGAACUUAUAGUAGAGCUGAUUUUAUGUGAUCGGUCUUUAGUUUGGAGAUGAUUCUUUAUGUGCAGAUAGUAAUAUAUAGGUGAUUCCAUCUUUUAUGUUGAUUAGAAAGAGAAAAAAAACAGUCCAAAAACAACCAUUAAGGGCAUAUAAAUCUCAAAGGGAGCAUACUUGGUCAACCUAUCGCCUAUUUAGUCUGUCAGACAGAGAAUCCAAGUAUAGGAAAAACCCAACUCUUUAAGAACUCAAUAAUCAUUCACGGCUAUACAUACUAUUUGCAAGGUCCUUGCUUCUUCUCUGAGACCGAAGCUGAACCACCUUCACAAGGAUAUUAUUAGGUCCAACGAAGCAGCCUGCUCCAGUCUUUCCAACAUGCUAAUAACUCUACCUCAAUAGUCAACCUUCCCCCAUCAGUUGUAGAAAAAUCCCUAAUCAAUCUGCUCUCAUGAUCUGGGAGCUCGCCUACUAUAACCAUAUAUACCAGAUUUUUCCAAAGAGCAUCCUUCAAUAUUAAACUUGUUCUGGGUUCUGCUUAAUAUGCAACUUUUGAACCCUCCAAAAUUAAUUUCGCUGUGUGUUUCCAUGCAACUCUUCAACCCUCCUACUUGAAUAAACCUAAGCCCAAUCUAACAUGAUCACAUUGACCAUUGUGCUGGGGAAAGCAUUCACCAGCAGUGACUACCACCCGAAAAGAGGAAAGAAAAUAGAACAAAACCUAUAAAACUUCACAUGCCUCCAUCUAUCCUCAAAGAUUCUAGUUUUCCUCUUUAGCCAAAUCAGCCAUGGUAAGUUUAAGAGCCUCACACCUCCAGCAUUGCUUCCAAACCCCAAGAAAGUGAUCUUCAUGCUUUGCACUCGUUUCAACUAUUGUUAAAGUAAUAGAUAAUCAACUGCCUUACCACUGUUUAAGCACCUGAUAGGCUGAUAUAAUACUUGGCCCUUAUGACUUUAAAAGAGAUGUCUUAGCUACAACUAAUUGUUAAUAUUAACCCUUACAUUAACAGUGAACUAAGAAAAUCCUGGGCUUUUGGUGGAUUUUUCAAACUUCAAAUUGAAUUGUCUUGACAAAAGUGAUUGAAGCCUUAGAUUAGAACAAAGCCCGAAACUUGAAGUAGUUGGAGACUUUCUGUGUCAAUGUUUUAAUAGUAGGGGAAGGCCAUUAAUUUCAUGCUCCACAUGAUUAGGGAAAAAAAGAAAAAGAUUGAAAUUUCAAUUAGUAGAGGGUUCUGAGUUAUCACAAUUCAUGAAUGGCAGAGAUUGCUCCAAACUCAAAAAGGAAAUAGAGGCCAAAAUAUAGAUAUUGUAAGAGUGGUCUUAUCACCAAAGAUUUUCCUGAAAUCGGAUCUUUAUACCAUCACCAAUAGUAGAAGGAAUAAGAAAAAACUAGGAAACCCUAGGGCAAAAGCUUUACGGGGAUCAUGUUGUGAUAAUCUAACCAAAAUGUUGGUAUCCCCAUCCAUUAGAGUGUGCUUUGUAGAUACUUCUAUUGACCUUGUGCUCAAGUGCAUUGCUUUUCAUAAGAAAGCUCCCUAGCCAUUACCUUAGAAGCUCUAUUCCUAAAAGAAACUUUACCAAAGACUUGAGCUCUUUAUACUACUUCUAUGCACCACAAUCCCUUCUAGCAAGUCUUUUAUCUUUUGCUUAGAAUAUCGAUGUUCUCAAAACAUGCACAAAAAUCGUAAAAGGAAAAGGUGACUGCAGGUUGCCUUUCCUAAGCCCUGAAAAAGUGUCUACCUAACCCUUAGCAUAAUGAUUAGAAAAAUUUAUAGUGUUGUUCAAAAUGUAUCUAGCAUGAAAACCUUCCCUAAAUAAUACUUCAUCCUCUGAUACCAAGUAUUUUAUUAUUUUUUUCAUUCUUCUCCAUUGCAUCCCCAUGAAAGAGCUUAUGAUUACAAUCUUCUUCUUUGAUCCAUUUUCACUGUUAAUUUUUCCUCCAAAUAACAUCUCCCUUCAGCAAGAAAUAAUUUAACUCCAAUUUCCAAAGUCAGAUCUACUGAUCUGUAAUUACCUUCCUCUAUGUUCCUGUGCAUAUACGCCCAUGUGCCCCAAUCAACUUCUCCACUCUGAUAUUUUUGCAUAAUAUGCUGAAGAUGGUUCUAAGCUACUUAGUAAUAACCUUAAAAGCAACUGAAUUUUUGGAAACCAAUCUGCAUCCCAUAGAUAAAAUUAUGAGUUUUGUGCUUUCUUAACAUGUUCAAAAAAUUUUGUGGAUGUGCCUUUAAGGCCCGACUCAAGUGAUAAAGGGUUGGGGAGGAUUUGUGGGAGGUUCUAGAUUCAAGUCCCCUAUAAAUUUGCAUAUAAAAAAAAAAGUUGUAGAUGUGCACCUAUCUUCUUCUAUGAUAUACUAUUGAUAGACUAGAGGGUAGUAGUUGCUAGAUUAUUUAAAAUACAAUUAUUAGAUAAUACAGGAAAAUCAAUAUUUUCUAUGUUUGGGUCAUUUAGUGACUAAAUUACAGUUCAUGUGGAGUUUUGGGAUUCAUUGAGUUAAAUUUUAAUCUUGAGGGCCACUUUGAUUUUUCACCUGGCAACUACAAUGAUUAUUGGAUUGGUUAGGAGAGAAUCUGGGGUCCAGUUGACAUUCUUCCAAUAUCCACUUGCAUCCCAAAGAAGCCUAUUGUUUUUAAUAAAUUGCAUUUUUCUUGGAAUUUACCUCUUUUCCAUUUUUGUAAUAUCAUAUAUCCAUAUGCAUGAUUCAUCAUCAACAAAAUAUGCGUUCUUCCCCUGGUAAUAAGUGACAUCUCGGUCGGUACUUGCUCCCCUAAUUUUGUUCUCUUUAUUUUGACAUGUGACUGCAUGCUGUCCUUAUUGCUAGUGUUCUCUUAAUUUGUUUAUCUGGGACUCUUUGAAGUAUGCUUCUGUUGCUUGUUAAUUUUUGGACAGGAUGAUGGAAUUCUGGUGAUCCCUACUGUUGCUGACCCUCCCCCAAAACUUGGUGGGAAGGAGAGUUUGUCAGAGGAAUACCAGAACCGUACUCUUGGUCUGUUGAGUAUUGCUAGUAUGUCAGGUUGCUGUCAGGUUAAAUUCUCUCUCACUCCCUCUUUUCAUGUUUGAAGGGUGUUGCUUUUCACUGGAUCUGUACUCUCCCACAUUUUGAAUAUUUAACAUUGAAAUAAUUGCAGUAGUUGGUUGAGUUUUCUCUGUGAUGAUGAAUUCAUGCUACUUAUUUUCUUUGUUGGUGUUUCUACAUCUUGUUUUAGGUCACAGUACCAUUGGGACUUUAUGACAAGUAUCCUGUUUCAGUAUCUUUCAUGGCUAGACAUGGGGGUGAUCGCUUUUUACUAGAUACAGUGCAGACCAUGUAUGCAUCUCUUCAGGAGCAGGCUGACAUUGCUGCAAAGUCCAAACUAUCAAGUAAUGCUGUUGACCGGGAAACAUCUGCUGAAAUUGCUAAAGAAAAGGUACCUUUUUAAAUAUAUUUUUGAAUGUAAAGUUUGUGGUCUGCAGCUUAUUUAGCGAAUAAUUCUAAUAGGACCUGCAAUGAAUCAGGGUCAGAUCAACGUAAUAAGGGGUCUUAAGGCAAAAUUAUAAAUGAAUCAUUUUAUCUAUUAUGUUAUUAUAAAUCAUAUUAUCUAUCUAUAUGCAUAAAGAAUUCUAAUCUAAAGUUCAUUCUUGAUUUAAAUUGAAUGAAAAUAGUUGAGAGAGAGAGAGAGAAAGGAGAAAAACCUUAAUUCUCAUUCAUGUGAUUAACUACUUACAAUUGAGAAGUAUAUAUAUAUAUACAAGCCUAGGAGAACUAACUACCAUACAUAUAACCUAUAUUAAAAAAGGAAAGACUGUACACUAUAUAUACAUUAUAUUCAACACUCCCCCUCAAGUUGAAGCAUAUAUGUCAUAUGCACCAAGCUUGUUACAAAUGUAUUUAAUCCUAGGACCUCUGAGAGAUUUAGUGAAGAUGUCUGCUAGUUGAUCAUUUGAAUUAACAAAACUUGUAGCAACACAUACUGAUGCGAUCUUCUCUCUAAUGAAGUGACAAUCAACUUCAAUAUGCUUAGUCCUUUCAUGAAAGACUGGAUUGGAUGCAAUAUGUAAUGCGGCCUGGUUAUCACAGAUGAGUUUCAUCUGUUCAUCCUUUCCAAAUCUCAACUCUUGAAGAAGAUGUCUCAACCAUAUGAGUUCACAUGUUGCCAGAGCCAUAGCUCGAUACUCGGCUUCAGCGCUAGAUCUGGCCACUACAUCUUGUUUCUUACUCUUCCAAGAUAUUAGAUUACCUCCAAUAAAAACACAGUACCUUGAAGUGGAACGUCUAUCUGUGGGUGAGCCAGCCUAAUCUGCAUCUGUGUAACCAACAACCUGAGUAUGACCUCUGUUCUCGUACAACACACCUUGGCCUGGUGUGCUUUUGAUAUAUCGAAGAAUGCGGAUUACGGCAUCCCAAUGGCUAUCACAUGGUGACUGUAGGAAUUGACUGACAACACUCACAGGAAAAGAAAUGUAUGGACGAGUAAUGGUGAGGUAGUUCAAUUUACCUACGAGUCAUCGAUAUCUCCCAGGGUCUCCUAAAGGCUCCCCCUGUCCUGGUACAAGUUUGACAUUCGGAUCCAUAGGUGUGUCUACCGGUUUACAGUUUAACAUACCGGUUUCUUCCAGGAUGUCUAAAGCAUACUUCCUUUGGGAAAGGACCACACCGGAACUGGAUUGAGUUAUCCAAUUCCCAAGAAAUACUUGAGUUUCCCUAAGUCUUUAGUUUGAAAGUGGGUAAAAAGAUGUUGCUUUAGUUUCUGAAUACCAUCUUGAUCACUACCUGUAAUGACAAUGUCGUCCACAUAAACAACCAGAUAAAUACACUGCCCCAAGGAGUUAUGAUGAUAGAAAACUGAAUGGUCUGCUGUACUGCGAAGCAUGCCAAACUCUUGAACAAUAGAGCUAAAACGGCCAAAUCAUGCUCGAGGAGAUUGUUUCAAGCCAUAUAGAGAACGGCGUAACCUGCACACUAAACCAGACUCCCCCUGAGCAACAAAACCAGGAGGUUGCUCCAUAUAAACUUCCUCGACAAGAUCACCAUGAAGAAAGACAUUUUUAAUAUCCAACUGAUAAAGAGGCCAAAAACACAUAGCAGCCAUGGAGAGAAGCAGACGGACAGAAGCAAUCUUGGCAACAGGGGAGAAUGUGUCACCAUAAUCAGAACCAUAAACCUGAGUAUAGCCUUUAGCAACUAAGCGGGCCUUAAGGCGAUCAACCUGACCAUCAGGACCAACCUUAACUGCGUAGACCCAACGACAGCCAACUGUAGAUUUACCAGAGGGUAAAACAACAAGAUCCCAAGUGCCAUUAGAGUGCAGAGCAGCCAUUUCAUCCACCAUUGCCUGUCGCCAGCCUGGAUGGGAAAGAGCUUCAUGGGUGCUCUUUGGAAGAGAAACAGAGGAUAUAGCAGAAACAAAAGCAGAAUAAGGUGAAGAUAAUCGAUGAUAACUCAAAAAAUUGUAAAUAGGAUGAGGAUUACGAGUAGAGCGAGUACCUUUCCGAAUAGCAAUGGGUAAAUCAUCAGGAGAAGGCAGAGCCGGGGCAGGAGAAGCCGAAGGGGUAGGAAGUGAGUUAGCAGGUGUCUCAGCAAAAGGGAGAGGAGCAGCGACACGAGGGCGACGAUGAUAAACCUGAAGUGGUUGAGGAGGCACGACAUCAGCUGGGGAGACAAUGGGAAGGGGCAAGAUUUCAGAAACAGGAAGAGACUCAGAAGUGGUGGAAAAGAAUGGUGAGUCCUCAAAGAAGGUGACAUCAGCGGAGAUAAAGUAUCGAUGAAUCUCAAGGGAAUAAUAACGAUAACCCUUCUGAAGUCUAGAAUAUCCCAAGAAGAGGCACUUCAUGGCUUUGGCAGAAAGCUUGUCCUGCCCAGGAGUGAGAAUAUGAACAAAGCAAGUACAACCAAAGACACGAGGAGGAAAGAAAUAAAGUGGUUGGUCAGGGAAGAGAAGGGAGUGAGGAAUCUGAUCGUGUAAGACAAAGGAGGGCAUACGAUUAAUCAAAUAACAAGCGGUAAGAACAGCGUCCCCCCAAAAACGAAAAGGAACAUUACUAUGGAGGAGGAUAGUACGAGCUGUCUUAACAAGAUGUCGAUUCUUGCGUUCAGCUACCCCAUUUUGUUAAGGAGUAUGAGCACAAGAAGACUAAUGAAGAAUCCCAUGAUGAGACAUAAAUGAAGUAAAUGGGGCUGAAAAAUAUUCCCUAGCAUUGUCACUGCGUAACACACGAAUAGAAAUAUUGAACUGGGUUUGGAUUUCAACAUAAAAUUUCUGGAAAAUAGAGAAUAACUCAGCUCGAUUUUUCAUUAAAAAUAACUAAGUACAUCGAGAAUAGUCAUCAAUGAAAGUGACAAAAUACUGAAAUCCUAAAGUAGACACAGUCCGACAAGGACCCCAAACAUCAGUGUGGACAAGCUCAAAAGGAGACUUUGCCCGAUUAUUCAAACGCUUUGGGAACGAGACACGAGUAUGUUUCCCAAGCUGACAUGACUCACACGGAAGCGACGACAAAGUGGAAAAACGAGGGAUCAUCUUCUGGAACUUGGAGAGACUAGGAUGACCUAGACGAUUGUGAAUGAGGAGAGGAGCAUCAGUGGAAAUGCAAACUACAGCAGAUGAAUCCGAGGUGAGGUGAUAGAGGCCUUGAGACUCACGUCCUAUGCCAAUCGUCUUCCCCGUACUCCGGUCCUGCAAGGUCACAAAUUUAUCAGAAAAGGUAAUAGAGCAAUUAAGAGUACGAGUGAGUUUGCUGAUGGAAAUAAGAUUAAAAGGACAUUCAGAAGUAUAAAGGAUAGAAGUGAGAGGUAGAGAAGGCAGAGGAAGGACUAAACCAAUACCUUUAGCCACAGUUUGAGAACCAUUAGCUAAGGUAACAGUAGGUAAAGCAGAGGUAGUAGUAAUAGAGGAGAAAAGAUCCUUAUUACCAGAUAGGUGAUCAGAAGCUCCAGAAUCUAGAAUCCAGGGUCCAAGAGAAGAUGUGUGGGUAAGGCAGGCAGAGGCAUUACCAGGCUAGGCAACAGAGGCAAUAGAAGCCUGAGAUGUCUGAGAUGCGGAGGAGCUCGGAGGAUGAGGCAGUGGAGAAUCAGAGGACUGGGCCAUAUGGGCAGUGCGAGGAGGCCGUCCAUGUAACUGAUAGCAACGAUCGCGAGUGUGGCCAAGUUUAUUGCAAUAGGUGCAAUGAGGACGUUGGCCUCUACCUUGGGUACCACUGCGUCCUCCUCGAGAGGUAGUUUGAGAAACUAACACAGAAGAAUCUGAAGUGCUAUCAGAUGGCAAAGUCUGAGUGGACGAGAUACGGAGGAGGCGAGCAAACACAUCAUCCAAGGACGGAACUGAUGAACUACCAAGAAUUUGAUCACGGAUAGGCUCAAGAUCCCGACGGAGGCCAAUAAGAGUAAGGACCAUGAAGAACUUGUCAAGCUGUGUUUGUUGAGCCCCAACAUCAGGAGUAAGAGGCAUCACAGUCAAGAACUCCUCCUUAAGAGAGGCAAUCUGACCAAUAUAAGUAGAUAGAUCCAAGUCCUGUUGGCUGAUAUGGACAAUAGCAGAAGCCACCUUAUAAAGACGCUGGAUAUCAUUCGUGUAUAAUCCUUUGGCCUGAGUCCAAAAUUUAAAACAAGUUUUGUAGGCCUGAAGAUGAAGAAGAAUCCUGGGAUCAACCGAUUGCCAUAAUACACUACAUAAUUGUGCAUCUAUCUUCCUCCACUGUACGCGGUCAACCUCAGGGAUAUCUGCCUCCUGGGUAACUAAGUGAUCCUCAUAUCCUUGACCCAUAAACCAAAGUUCAACAGAGGCAGACCAGGAAAGAUAAUUUUCACUGCCAACCAAUUUCUCCGAAGUAAUCAUAGGAGAUCCAGAUAUGAUAGAGGAAAAAAUGGAAGUUUUAGUAGCCAUAUCCACUUAUCUGGAGAAUGAAGUAUGUUUGGAUCGAAGAGAGUCCUAAUACGACUUCAGAUUGCGGCGUGGCACCACUGAAAAAGGGAGACGACCUCAGAUCGCGGCGUGGUACCACCAGAAAGGUAGAAGAACACUUCCCAAGGCACGUGCAGGGAUUGGGGUGGAGAAAAAGUAGCCGGAGCUUCGCCGGAAAGACUGUUUGGAGGGCUGACGGAGACAAAAAUCCCCAAAAGAGGUACAUGCAGGGCUCGGAUGGGAGAACCAAGGAUGUAGGGAGGCUGGUCGGCGUCAGGCAAAGCUGGAGGAGGAGGCGUGUCGCCGGAAAAGGCCUCACGCGCCGGCGCGUGAGAUGCAGUCGCCGGCCGGAAAAUUGCGCGUGGCCGUCGUGUGGAUGAGCUUUUGGUUCCGGUGCCUUCACAAAAGUUGGAGAUCUCCUCUAGGCGCUCCUUCUGGUAUGGUCGGUGUCGGAAAAAGACGUCGCCGGAAAGUUGGCCGGAAAAUUUUGCCGGCGGUGAGUGUUUUCUGACGACGAUCCGACUGACCGGAAAGUAUUGGGAGAUGGGGAAGGUGACCGGAAUGAAACACGGUCACCGGAAGGUUUCCCGGAGUUGAUGACACGGGAAACUAGAAAGAAUUAGGUUUUCUCCCUUGGCUCUGAUACCAAGUUGAGAGAGAGAGAGAGAAAGGAGAAAAACUUUAAUUCUCAUUCAUGUGAUUAACUACUUACAAUUGAGAAGUAUAUAUAUAUAUACAAGCCUAGGAGAACUAACUACCAUACAUGUAACCUAUAUUAAAAAAGGAAAGACUGUACACUAUAUAUACAUUAUAUUCAACAAAAAUGAAGAAGAAGCCGAUAGGAAAAAAAAUAACUAAUCAAAGGUUUAAAGUUUAAAUCCAUAUUUGAAUUUUUUUUAGUGGGAUGAAAAUAAAAAAAAGGAGGGCACUCACUUGAAAUUGCAUCUCAUUGGACAAUGGGACCAGUUUUAUUGAGGCCUAAUUGAAACUAAUGGGGUUUCCUUUUAAGGGGUUCUCAUUGGUAUUUGUCAUAUAUUAAAAUGUGACCUGUUAGAGACAUCUCAUAAUGCAUAUAAAAAAUUACCUAUCAAAAAAAAAAUCUUUGUUUUUAGCAUCCCAAUUCUUUGUAUGCUAGGGUAGUCUAGAUUCUCUGAUGGCAUUCUCUUGAAGGGUUUCUAGUUUUCACACUUUUGAAUUUUCUACUAACAAUUUGCAUGUAUGAAAAAGUUUUUGAAAAACGAGAAAUUGUUUUAUUUGCUUUCCUAUUUCUUUCUGUAAACCUGGCAUGAUUGUUUCUUUUAUUUGGAUGUAUUUAGCGUGCCUGUUAUCUUAGUUGAUAGCUGACAUAUUUUGGUGUUUUAGGAAUUUUCUCUGUUAAACGCCUCUGAGUCCUUAGUGACAUUUGGAUUGGCUGUCAGCAAGCCUAAAGGAGCAGAUUAUUUUUUACAAUUUCAUUUAAAAUCUUCUGGUAGCUUACCAAAGUAAUUUAACUUCGAAAAACUGAUUAUAUUCCACAAUUGAGGUUGUGAAUAGUACUAGAUGGGGGGCUUUAAUUUUCAUCUGCCAACUUUACGCAUUCAGUAGAAUGUGGAGUUCUUCAAAUUUCCAAUGUAUCACAACCUACUUCAGUUAAAAUGAAGAAUUGGCUUGGAGAGGAGCAUGUGUGAAUGUUAAGAGUGCCUUAAAUGUAAAUGUUGGGAAAACCAAUCUGUGUAACUGAUUAACUUCUUAUUUUUGCUCCUGCAUCUUCUAAACUUCUUUUUUACUGCUUAUUGGGAACGUUGUUGAAGGAAACAGGAGACAACACAUAGGGAGAGCUAUAUUAGAGAAUGAGAUGCCUGGUAAACCUGAACAAAAAAUAACUUUUGUUGCCUAUAAAGAUUCAAAUUACAGGGAUUAGUUGAAUGAUAAGUUUGGAUAUAGCAAUUUCAUAAUAUGCUUCUCAUUGGAAUGUUCAUUUUUCUUUGGAUAUUCUGUAGUUAAAAUAUUCUUCACCAGUAUAUGAACUAUGUGCACAUCCUUUUUUAGUUCUUAAUUUGAUAUUCUGCUGUUAAGUGUUCUACAUAUUAUUUCGAACGUCUUAGGCAACUGGGCAAUUACUUACAAUCAAUCCAGAAAUGGGCUAUUGAAUGUCUAUGCUUUUCUUUGUACUUCUGUGUGUUUUCUUCUCUGAAAUCAAUUAUUUUCUUGUGUUUUCUGUUCUUUGAUUAGGGUAAUCAAGCAUUCAAAGAUAAACAGUGGCAGAAGGCUGUUGGCUUCUAUACAGAAGCCAUUAAACUUAGUGGCAAUAAUGCAACAUACUACAGCAAUAGAGCUGCAGCAUAUCUGGAAAUGGGAAGGUAUUGUUACUUUAUUGAGAAUUUAUGAAUAAUGGUUUUUUCAAUGUGCUUAACAAGUUCCCUUUUUGUUUAUCCAGUUUCCUCCAAGCUGAGGCUGAUUGUACAGAAGCAAUCAAUCUUGAUAAAAAGGUAAGUUUCUAUCCCCAACCAAAUCUUUUAGUUGGCGUGCAGUGGGUUCUUUGCCUAAUGUUUUAUGCCAUGUAUAGCGCCCCAUCACUUUUUACAUUAAACAUGAAUCACUUGAUAGCAAAGAUGCAUAUGCAUUAUAUUUUUGUAUAGUUACCCACAUGGGUGUCCCAGUGGUAAAAGGGGUGAGCCUGGACUGAACCAUAAACUCAAGCAUACUGAUUUCCUACUCCCAAGGGUGUUAAAACACCUGGGUUUAGCUACUAACUGUGUAUCGUGUGCAUUCAGGAUUUACCCUGAAUCCUUGUGCCCAAUGAAGAAUUGGGGCAUGGGUGUUUCCCUCAUUAUCAAAAAACUAUUUUAUUUAGCUAAAGAGAAUUCUCAUAUUUUAGUUUUCAGUGUUUUUUGUCAAACUAGGUGAGUAUGCUAUGGUGGACAAUAGAAAUUCAAAGUUCUUUAUAAUUGAUUUGCAAUGCCAGUUAGUAUUUUAGGCCAUAUGGCAUUCAUUUAAGUUUUUAUCUUUAACUUGUAACAUUGAGCAUCAGGCCAUCAAAUAUUAUAGUAUAUGUUGUUGUUGCUGCUGUUUUUUCCAUGUUUGUUUGGGUUUAACUUCAACUAAUAGAGGAAUUUCUGUUUUUUGCCCUCAAAAGGUUGCCUUCAAAAGGAGUUUGCUUCCAUGGAUAUUCUUUUCCUUGACAGCUACCACAGCUUUAGUAUAUUAUGAAAUCCCCUUUUUGGACAUUUGCCUCUUAGCCAUUCCUUCCCUUGUGUAGAUGCCUUGUGCACCAGGCCAUGGUGUAUUAGAUGGAAUUAUUAUGGAAAUAUGUAUUCAUAUUGCCCUGAACAAAUGUUUCCUAUACAUUAAGAGAACUCCUUUGUAGAAAUAAUAUAUUCACUUUCUCCUUAAGCAAAAAUUUCCUCAUGUUCACCACCAAAUUGAAGAUUGUUGCUAUGUUUGACUACCAUCAACUUCAAGGAAAGGUGUCUUUUAGCAACCAGCUGAAUCACAUUUGAGCUACUGUUGGCCUAUAUGGACCUUAUUUUCUAAAAAUUAUCCUGUUUAUUUAUUUAUUUAUUUAUUUUGCAUUUCUUGUGUAAGCCAUUCAUAACAUACUCUAUUAUUUCUGGAACUCUUUACUCCAACUUUUUCCUGUGAACUAGAGGUUAAGUAUCAAAUAUACAAUGUUCUAUUAUAUGCUUGGAAGCUUUCCUAUAGGAAGUGUAUCCAGUGAAUAUUUACUUGUUUUCUGGGUCGUCCCUUUUCCAGGUAAGUAGCCUAGAUUAGUUUGCUUGGGAAUGUGACUUCCAGGUGGGAAAUAAUACCUCUGGAACCUUCAAGAGAUAAAUUAUCGAUCUCUCUGAAGAAAAGUAGUAGGUAUUUUUUCUGUAGAUUAUUUGAAGAAGCAAAGAAAAAGAUAAUUGUGAACUGGUUUCAUGCCCAUUGGAAGUUGCACAUUCGAUUCUAGUGGCCAUGGACCCAUGACCCCUUGUUCCAUGAAUUUGGUUCCAAUUAGAGCCUAUUUCCAUUUGUGGGAAAUGUCUAUCUACCGGCUAUAGCUAAUUGUGCAUACAUGGCAUGGACAAUAGCUACAUCUCCUGUGUUUCUUGUGCUGCAACUGUAUAGCUUUUGUUCUGACUUUAUCUUUCGUAGUACAAGUUUCUUGUGCUGUAAUAUGAAAUGCGUGGAGUUCUAUGUUAUUGAUACUGGCCUCUACUGUGCAGAAUGUGAAGGCCUACUUAAGGAGAGGCACGGCAAGAGAGAUGCUUGGCUAUUAUAAGGAUGCAAUUGAAGGUGAGUCGAUUCAUUGUUCAUUGAAUGGAAAUGUGCAUGGUUUGUGUUAUGUAUUUGUAUGGUUCUUCAGGCACAAACAAUUAUGGAAGAAACACAUCCUCAAAUCAGAAAAUGCUAAAUGAUACCGGUUUUCAGAUUAUAGGAAAAUUAUAACACUUGAAAUCAUUACAGAAUAAUUGCUAGUUGAAAUUGCAGUUAAAAAAAUUACCAACAGAUAGUGCUAGAUUUGAUUUCUUAUUCUUUCCAGACUACAAAUUCAUAAUACAUCUCAUUUAAGAGCUUGUUGGAGCUAUACGUUGACCAUAGUUUGCUUCUGGGGUACACAAUGCAAAUUUGUUUUGAUCCCUGAAUGUUCUUGGACUAACGUCACUUUCACCCUGCAGAUUUCAGAUACGCACUUGUUCUUGAGCCAACCAAUAAAAGAGCAUCCCUUUCUGCUGACAGACUAAAGAAGUUAUUUCAGUAAGUGAUUGAAAUAUAAUCAAGGCUUCAGGAGGCUCAGUGUCACAGAAACAGGUCUUCCUCAUUCAUUACCUUGCCUCAUUCCAUUCAGAAAGAUGAUUUUGCCAUACCUUCCCAGCAGCCCCACAGAUCUAAUUCUUUUUCUCUUGGUUAAGGCAUUGUGAAGGCCUGGAGUAGUCACUUGAUCUAGUCGCCAUUUUGGUAGCUGUAGUAUAUCACUAUUGCUGGAACUUGUAAUUAUGGUUCGAUUUUGUUUACUCUGAUAUUUACAUUCGGGUUGUAAUUCUAGCAUUGAGCUGAGGUUUUAUACUUUUGAUUUUGGUUGAGGUGAUGAAAUAAUUUUUCCCUUGAUUAGUAGCUGUUCAUAGAUUUUUAGCUCUUGAAUGAAUGCGAGGAGUCUGGUGGCUCUCCAAAAACUUCUCAAUUAAUUCUUUAGAAUGAUACCAAAAGGACAAUGUCGCUGACAGUAGGAUAUUGUCUCUAAUUUGUUUCUUGUCAGUUUUGGCAUGUUAAUUUUAAUAAUCAUACAAUCAGUAUGAAUGAUUUGGAUCUGCUGGAGAUGGGUUUAGUCUGAUAGUUGAUAAUUCUGGAUUUUUGAAUUGUUUAGCAUUGAAGUGAUUCAUAGAUCUCUCUAUUAGUUAGGGGGAAAAUCUAUGUGAAUCGAAAGGGAUUGUGAAAGAUGUUCCACUAGAAAUAUCAUCUUUCUAAAUGGAAUGGGUAAUGACUUAGGAAGAUUGUUUCCCUUAUGCCCCAUACUAACACGCACUCUGCGUUAUUUGCUUUCGGGAGGAGAUAUUGUUGAACUAACGUUCUGAUGGAUAGAUGAAGGGGUCAAGAGCAAAAUGUUGAAUGGAUAAAUGCUUGAAUUUGAAUAUUCCAAGGAGGAAAAUUCAUUGAAGAAUUUUCUUACGGUUGAAGUAGCAUUCUGAUAGCUAGAAGCGGGCAAAGAAGAAAAAGUAGAGACAUCUAGAUAAAAAUACGAGCAAACCAUAUAUCAUUAUUGGUCAGAUUUUAUACGAAUGUUUAACAUGGUUGCAUCAAUCAUAUCUAUUUCCAUCGAUUGAGUCGUUUUUACUUCAGUAAAUGUCUCUCAUUUUUUUUCGUAUCUACAUUGUAAAUUAUUUCUCUUCCUCACAUUUCUCUCUGCCACACGAAUCGUACCGUCCCGUCCCUAAUCAUUAGGGACGGGGUUUAAAUUUAAUAAACGGGUUUGGGAUGGGUAUGCGAUUUUUUUUUUAAAACCGGGGCCGGUUCAGGUAUUGCCUCAUCCUGUCCCGCUUUGUCUCGUUUACAUAUAAAAUUAAUUUUAAAAUUUAAAAUUAAUUUAAUUUAAAAUUUUAUUUUACUAUUUUUAAUAUAUAGAUAAUAAUAAAAAAUUUAAUAAAAUAAGUUAUAAAAAAAUAUAAUAAUUUUAUUAUUUAUAAAAUAUAUUUAUUUUCAUGUAAUUAAAAAAUUUAAAAGUAAUUUUUAAAAAAAAAUUAGUAAUUUUUUAAAAAAUAAUUAAAAUUUUUUUUUAAAAAAAACAAAAAUCUAAAGGGACGGGGGGACCCGUUCCGAACCCACCCCAUUGUCAUUCCUAGCCACACGUAUAAUUAGAAUUUUCCCCACCAUGACCCCUCGUGUUUACAAAGAUAACUUUUGUUAGUUUUUCAAAGGAAACAUAGACAUCCGACUUUUCUCACAAGUCACAACUGAAGAUAUGAAACACCCGGUCAAUAAAUGAAAAACGGAAGCUCGAAUUUUCCACGGGUCGACCACCUAUAAAGGGGAAUGUAAUUUAGAUGUCAGAGCAUAAUUGCUUGCCUAAAUCUUGAUUAUCGAGUAUCAACCAUAGCUCUUUCAAAAAAGACCCAAAAUGAUUGGGCGGUUGUUGCUUCAGCUGAUCAUCUUCAUACUAUGCUUGACACGAGCAUCAUCAGCUGCUCCAUCUCUAGCACAGCCUGGUUGUAACGAUGCCUGUGGAAGUGUUUCCAUUCCAUACCCGUUUGGUGUAGGGAAGGACUGCUACCUUAAUGAAUGGUUCUCUAUAAAUUGCAAACAUUCCACACCCUUCUUUACCCAUCCUAACCUCAAUGGUUCGCAGGUGAGCUCCAUUAUCACUGGAGGACGAGACUGUGGUGGUUCAAACUCCCAUAGUUGACUUCUGCAAGCUUCCUGAGUCUCAGCACACCCAAGUGUUGGAUAGUGUUGAUCUGGAAGGAAGCCCAUUUCUCUUCUCAAAAAAAGGUAACGCCGUUAGUGUGAGCGGUUGUGGCAGUGUAUCACUGCUCUCCCGGCAAGACAAAAUACUGGCAGGUUGUUCCACCAUUUGUGACAAUAACGGUUCAUGCACCGGUAUCAAUUGUUGUCGAACCACACCGCCAUCCCCACUCAAUUUCUACCAUCUGGAAACCACACUUGAUCAAAAUCAAUGAAGACUAGAAUGGCCUAAUUGUACGAUUGCUGCCUUGGGGAAUUUUAUAUUCAACUCUACAUCCUGGGCUGAGUCGCAACUGAUCUGGAGGAUUGAAGAAUCAGCAAGCGGUUACAACUGUAAUCACAACGCAUCAACAGAGUGGUCCACGCAAAAUGUUUCCAGUUAUAAAUGUUUAUGUUGACCUUACGAGGAGGGGAACCCUUAUCUACCCCAUCCCCAUGGAUGCCAAGGUAAGCUCUUCUCUUUAUUAUAAUCUUUUGUGUGCAUGUACGAGGAGAAAUCAUAUCAUAUGCCUCUAGAGGUGCAGAUUGGAUGGAUUAGCUGAACCAACCCGACAUUUGGGUCUGUUUGAAUUAGGUUUUUUCAACCCGAAAUCAAUCCGAAUUGAGUUCGGGUUAAGGUUUAGAUAGCCCGAGUAUAACUCAAAUCCGAUUUAAUAUUCUUAUAAUAUCAUAUUAUUAAUAAUAUUUAUUUUCUGUUUAUAUUAUUAACCAAAAAUAUCAUAUUAUAUUAUAUCAUAUCAUAUAAUUUGUUAAUUAUUUUAGAAAAAUAUAUAAAAUGUAUGUUUUUUUUAGAUCUUGAAAGUUUGUCUUAUUUAUUAUUUAAAUUUUCAUAUAAAUACAUAUAAAAAUAAUAUUUAAAAAUUAUUAUAAAUAAAUUUUAAAUUAUGCAAUUGAUCAACCCAAAUCUAACUCAAUUAAUAUGUGAACAACUCUAACUUAACCCAAGGUUAGAGAAAUAAUAAUGAAUUGAGCUUGAGUUGGCAUGUUGGCAUGUCAACUUAAAAGUCAGAUUGGAUCUGGGUGUAUUGUUUCUUAAUUUGGUCUUGGGUCAAACAUCAAGCUAACUAACCUGCCUAAGUUGUAACCUAUCCAUAGAAAUAUUACACUACCUUUAUUUUCUCAUGUUAUUCAAUCACCCAAUAAAAUAAAAUAAAAUAGAGAUUAAUACAAAUUUUAAUUAUCAUUUUCAUAUUUGUCUUAAUUGUUGAAGCAUGUUCAAACUGCAAAGAUAGAUGUCGCAAGAGAGAGUUCUCAUCGAACUCAUCAACGGAAGGUAGUGAGUUCUUCUGUGCAAAUGAAUUCUCCACCUCACUAAAAGCUUUGAUUAUAGGUAAAUAAUGAUGAUCUACAUUUUUCUUUUAGUUGGUCUCGUGUGUUUUCUUUUACUUGUUUUAUAUGCUUGUCUAUUAUAAUAUCCUAUAUCUCAUUUUAGAAAUCAACAUAAAUUAUUUUAUAAAAAUGAAAUAAUUCAUAUAAAAAUACACGAGAUUUUAAUGUGGUUCGAUUAGACAUGCUUAUAUCUAUCGAGAGAGAAUUAGUUCACAAUAUCAUUUGAGUAUUUCUCAUUUUCUCUAUUUACCUCGUAUAGUCUUUACAAGUCUAUUUUCAUCUUAUAAUUUUUUUCUGCUCUUACCCAAGAAUAUUUAUAAAGAUAUUCUAAAUAACUUUAUAUAUCUUACAAGAAAUUUAAUAUUACAAUGACAUAUGAAUAUAAAAUAAUAUUUCAUACAGUAUUCUUGAUACAAAAUGAACUAAUUAGAAAUUCAAAACACUUUUCGAACAAUAUUUUAAUAUUUGAUAUUUUUAAAAUAAAAAUAUAUUGUAUCUCAAUGUUUAUGUUAAAAAAUAUUAAUGAAAUAUUAUUUGUCAUAUUUAUUAUUAUUUGGAAAUCAUUCAUUAAUUGAUAAUUUUGUAAGUAAUUUUUUUAUUUCUUUGUUAAUAAUAUUUAUAAUUAAAAUUUUUAAAAUUUAAAAAAAAUUAUAUUAUGUUAUUAAAUAAUAAUUAUUUUUUGUGUGUAUAUAUACAAUUGAGGGUUUUAUUGUACUAGAAUCAAUUUGAAAGAAAAAAGAGAAGAUAUGUUGCACUUGUUAUAGGACCCAAUACUCCAUUUGAUUUUGAGCAUCUAUUGCCAUUUUCUUAGGUGCCAAACAAAAGAAGAGGUUUAUAAUAGAUACCAAAGCCCAUAUAGGUUGAUGACAGGAACAAAGACAAUAACAAUAAGAAACUAAGCAGGUUUUCUUGCAUUUUAAACAAUGAUGUAAUUGUUUUGCAUUUUUCUUAACUUAGCAGGUUUAAGCGUUGUUGGAGGAUCCUUGUUUCUACUCCUAGGGAGCUUUUGGUUGUAUAAAGUACUUAAGAAAAGGAGGGAAAUCAAACUGAAAAAACAAUUCUUUAAACAAAAUGGUGGUUUGUUAUUACAACAACAAAUAUCUUCUAAUAAAGUUGUUGAAAAAACAAAGAUUUUCACUACAGAAGAGUUGGAGAAGGCAAUAGACAAUUUCAAUACAAACAGAAUUCUUGAUCAAGGAGGUCAAGGGACGGUUUAUAAAGGUAUGUAAUUAGCUAACGGAAAUAUUGUAGCAAUCAAAAAAUCAAAAAGGGUCGACAACAAUGAAGUGGAACAAUUCAUUAAUGAGAUUGUGAUUCUUUCUCAAAUCAACCAUCGGAAUAUAGUCGGGCUAUUAGGGUGUUGUUUGGAAACUGAGGUACCUUUAUUAGUUUAUGAGUUCGUCUCCAAUGGCACAUUGUUUCAACUUAUUCAUGAUCAAGGUGAGUUCCCAUUUUCUUGGGAAACACGUUUACAAGUUGCUAAUGAAGUAGCAGGAGCACUAGCUUACUUACAUUCAACGUCUUCCGUCCCUAUUUUAUCAUAGGGAUGUUAAAUCCGCUAAUAUACUUUUGGAUGAUAAGUAUAAAGCAAAAGUUUCAGAUUUUGGAACAUCAAGAUCCAUCUCCAUUGAUCAGACUCACUUGCCUACCAUUGUACAAGGAACUUUUGGUUACUUGGAUCCGGAAUAUUUUCAAUCCGAUCAAUUCACUGAAAAAAAAGUGAUGUCUAUAGUUUUGGAGUUGUUCUUGUUGAGCUUUUGACGGGACAAAAGCCGAUUUCUUUAUUAAAAUUAGAAGAACGAAAAAGUUUGGCAAUACAUUUUAUUUUAUCACUGGAGGAGAAUAAUCUAUUUGAUAUUCUUGAUGCUCGAGUUUCAAAAGAAGGCCAAAAAGAGGAGAUCAUGGCAAUCGCUAACCUUGCAAGUCGAUGCUUGAACUUGAAUGGGAGAAAAAGGCCAACAAUGGGAGAAGUAGCAAUGGAGUUGGUGCAUAUCAGAACAUCUUCUUUGCCAUUGAAUACUAAAGAAAAUGUCAAAGAGGAUGAAGCUAUUAUAAUUGACAUAAGUGGGCCUUUAGAUAGUGUUUUAACAUCAACAAUGACAAUGCAGUUCAACUAGGUCGGGUGGGUCUUUUUGGGUAUCCGUCCUGUCCCGUCCCUAAUAGGACGGGGUUUAAUUUUAAUAAACGGGUUUGGAAUGGGAUUAAGAAUUUUUUUAAAAACCCAGGGUAGGUUUGGGGCGGGCUCGGGUAUUGCUCCACCCCCACCCCAAUUAUAUAUAAAAUUAAUUUAAUUUAAUUUUUAUUUUACUGUUUUUAAUAUAUAGAUAAUAAUAAAAUAUUUUUAAUAAAAUAUUUUUAAUAAAAUAAGUUAUAAAAAAUAUAAUAAUUUAAUUAUUUAUAAAUAUAUUUAUUUUAAUAUAAUUAAAAUUUUUAAAAGUAAUUUUUUUAAAAAAAUUAAAAUUCAAAAAAAAGCUAAACGGGUGGGUAUGAGAAUUUAUCAUACCCGCUUGCCCCGCCCCUCCCCGUUUAAUUUUUUAAAUGAGAUAGGGAUGAGAAUUGUUUCUAUUAAACGGGACAGGGUUGGGAUGGGGACGACCCGUCUCGAACCCGCUCCGUUGCCAUCCCUAAGUUCGUCUACAAAAAAACAUUCUUAUUAGAUGUUCAACCACUACUAUUUAACACGUGAUAAUGAGGCAGUUAAAUCAUGUUUCAUUUUUUAAGUUGUAAUAUUUUACUAUCAUGAACCAUUUCUUUGUUAAUAUGCACUUAAUACUAAUGUAAAUUAGAUAUUUGAUUUCUUUAAAUGCCAACUAUUUAUAUAUGUUACAUUUUAAUAGUUCAAUUUAAUUUCAAAAUGAAGAUUGAUGUGGGUCCAUGACAUUGGAGGAUAAAGGAAGGUAUUCCAUCUUGGUGGUGGAGACAAUAUUAAUAUCAUGAUCAAUAAAUAUAAAAUAAUCCAAUUUUUAAUUAAAUUACUAGAUUUUGAAUAUAAAUAUUUUAUUAUUAGUUUCUUGAUAUUGUAAAAUCAAUUUUUUUCAAAAAAAAAUUAUAUCUUAAUGGGUUUAUAAAUCAAUAAAAUUGAACUUUCUUUUAAACAAAGUUUUUUUUUAUUGAUUCCCUAGUAUAAUAAAAUUACAAUUAUCAUUAAACUAUAUUUUAUUGAUUUAUAAAAAUUCUUCUUCAUAUUAGAGACAAAAAAAAAAAAAACUAAACAAUGUAAAGUACGUUAAAUAAUAUUUUUAUUUUUAUUUUUAAUUUCUAUGGGUGAAUCUUUUAAAUGCAAUUGCUAGUUCUUGAAAUAAAUUAAAAAAUAAUAAUUAAAAAAAAAAAGGCUUUUGAUUUAUGCAGGCUUGUAUGGACAGGUGUACACGGUAUGCUAAGAUUAUUUCCCUUCACGCGGUAAGAUGAUUUAAAAUUUCUGAAAAUCGGAGAAGGUUGAAAGUCAAACAACAUGAAGGGUUGAAGCAAUCCAACUGUGUUUUUAGAUAUUUUAUAAGGGGAGCCCCUAAUCUCUGACCAGCAAAAAAUUGUUUAUUCUUUGGAGAUGGUGGAGCUGUGGGUUCAUCGGUCAUCACAUGAGCCAACUAAUCUAAUGUCCUACCCUCCCAAAGAAGACGAAUACCACUUUGAAGAUCUUCGGCUGAAGAAAUGAAUGUGAAGUCUGUGCUUCUGCUCAUCUCCUUACUAUGGCUAACAACUGCGUCAACAGCUACUCCCUCCAUGGCAAAGCAAAACUGCCAAGAACGAUGCGGAGAUGUUACCAUUCCAUACCCAUUUGGAAUAGGGAAAGAUUGCUACCUUAAUGAGUGGUUUGCAGUCAACUGCAACGAUUCUUUUAAUCCUCCAACGCCAUAUUUGAGUCAUCCUGAGCUCAAUCUGAAGCUGACGUUUGUAUCACUGGCUUACCAACUGGUCACUGUUAUCAGCCCCAUGGCUGUCUACUGUCAAGACCAUGACAGGAAUAGAUCGACAUGGAAGGGCAUUGAUUUGAGUAAAACCCCAUUUUUUUACUCAGAAGGUAACGCACUGAGGGUGGUGGGUUGUGCCAAUUCGGUCCUGAUCACGCGUCAAGGUACCAUCUUAGCAGGCUGCUCUUCCAUUUGCGAUAACAGCUCUAGUGUUCUGAGCAAUGGUUGCUACGGGAUCAACUGUUGCAAAACCACAGUUCCAUCCAAUCUUGAUUUCUAUAUUCUGAACACCACAUGGAGUACAAAUAUGGGCACAGAAUUGAAUUGUACGUAUGCUGCCUUCGGUAGAAAUUUCAUUUUGAGGGGGAAGUCUUCAGGUUCAGGUAUGGAAUAUGAGGCUUCAUCGGAGGGAGAAAUGAUCUGGAUGAUAAAAGAAUCGGUGGAGGGCAGUGAUUGUCACAAAAACACAGUCCCUGACGGGGCACUGGGAAAUCAUUCUUAUUAUUCUUGCUCCUGUCCGGCUUACCAAGAAGGGAACCCUUAUCUACCCAAUGGAUGCCAAGGUAAGACUCCAUUAAAGCCUGUUCAUCCACGAAUUUUAGAGAUAUAUGUCUUUGUAUAUUAGGGUUUGAUCAAUCCAUGAUGACCCUUUCUUGAUCAUCAAUCUAACUAUGCAUAACAAAUAUAUAAUCAUUCACAUGACAUUAUUCAUUUGUCAGGCCUUUUGAACAUUUGGUUUGAAGAGAUCAAAAAAUUAUUUUACUAAUUUGGUUAAUUUAAGUUAGAAGUUGUUGAUUGUGACCAAAGGAUGAUAAAAUUUUCAUGUUACAGUUGUUGAAGUAUGUGCAAACUGCAAAGGAAGAUGUCUAACCAGAAUUGACGGUCGUUUCUUCUGCGAUGAAAGAUCUUUGGCUUCAAAAUUUUGGAUUCUAGGUAAUGAUAUGCUUCUCUGGUUUAAUAUGUGUUUACUAAAUCAUCAAUGUAGAAUUUCUUAGUCUCAUUGCCCAAAAAAAAUACCCCUAACAAUUUUAAAUAUGUAAAGGGUAAUAACCGAAUCUCAAUUAUGUAGAUAUUGUCGGUCCUUAAAUUCAGAAUUGACAAUAUCUAUCCGAUUUGACAUAGUAUAUUUUCAAAAUUCUCACAAUUUCUCACUUUUUUUUAACUAAGUUUAUCUUUCCUUUGGUUAGUGAAACUCUGUAUCUUUUUUUUUCACUUAAGUGUUGAGUUGAACCAAUUUGAAUAUAUGAUAUGAGAAUGUCAAAAUUCGAACUUUCUUGAUACAUUUUAGUAAUAAAGGUUAUCUUUUCAUUACUUGUGAGAUGUGCAGGUAUUAGCCUAGGUGGGGGAUUGUUGUUUCUACUUCUUGGAGGGUUCUGGUUAUAUAAAGUUUUAAGGAGAAGGCGAAAGAUCAAACUCAGAGAACAGUUCUUCCAGCAACAGUUAUUACAACACCAAAUGUCUUCUAAUGAAAUCAGCAUUGAGAAUACAAAAAUAUUCACUUUCAAUGAAUUGAAGAAGGCAAGUGACAACUUCAAUGAGAAUCGUAUUCUUGGUCGUGGAGGUCAAGGAACGGUUUAUAAAGGUAUGUUGACUGAUGGAAGAAUCGUAGCCAUUAAGAAGUCAAAAAUAGUUGAUGAGAGUCAAUAUGAGCAAUUCAUCAAUGAGAUUGUGAUUCUUUCCCAACUUAAUCAUAGAAAUAUAGUAAAGCUAUUGGGAUGUUGCUUGGAGAUAGAAGUUCCCUUAUUAGUUUACGAGUUUAUCUCGCACGGAACUCUAUUUCAGCUUAUUCAUGAUGAAAACAAUGAGUUGCCAUUUUCUUGGGAAAGGCGCUUGGAGAUUGCCACAGAGGUAGCAGGAGCACUUGCUUACUUACAUUCUGCCUCUAGUACACCUAUUUUUCAUAGAGAUAUCAAGUCUAAAAAUAUACUCUUAGAUGAGAAAUAUAGAGCAAAAGUGGCAGAUUUUGGGACAUCGAGGUCUGUUUCCAUUGACCAAACUCACUUGACUACUCUUGUGCGAGGGACUUUCGGCUACUUAGAUCCAGAAUAUUUUCGAACAGGACAAUUCACUGAAAAAAGUGAUGUAUAUAGUUUUGGAAUUGUUUUGGUUGAGCUUUUAACGGGCCAAAAGCCGAUUUCUUCAACAAGAACCGAAGAAGAGAGAAGCUUAGCAAGUUAUUUUAUUUUGUCAAUAGAGGAGACAAACUUAUUUGAUAUUCUUGAUGCUCAAGUUGUGAAGGAGGGUGGAGAAGAGGAGAUAAUGGCUGUUGUUAACGUUGCAACACAAUGUUUGAAUUUGAAUGGGAAGAAAAGGCCUACAAUGAAGGAAGUAGCCUUAGAGCUAGAGAGGGUCAAAUCUCAUCUGCCUCUACAUGUUCGAGGACAUUUUGAAUUAGCAGAGUAUAUUAGAACUGAAAUAAUUGGGCCUUCGGAUUGUGCUUCUUCUUCAACAGGGUCAGGUUUGACAUAUAGAAAUACUCCUUCAUUGAAUGAAAAUUCAUCAUUUUCUAAUACACUAUAAUGAUAUGAUUAGACAAUGAUUCUAUUGUAAGGAUUCUCUAUUAGCUAGCUGUAUGCUACGGACUUAGCUUAUUUUCUAAGCUCACAUACGACACUUAUUUUAAGUAGAUUGUGACAUGUAUCUUUAAAACACUUCUAUCUCAUUCAUGUAGAUAUACUUAUUUUCUUUCUUAUGAUAUUUAUGGUAUGAUCUUUCAAUAUAUUACCAUUCAAUUAAUUUUCGUUUCUAUUGCAAAAGGGGCACAAGCUUUAUGCAGAAACUGAAUUCGAGUUGGGCUUUUGUUAGUUAGUUUCUUAAAAUUGGUUUCAAAACCUUGAGCCCAUGGGCAGGCCUCAUGUAAAUGAGCAUUGAUCUUUUCCAUUACCACCCAAUAUUUUGCAACCCAAGCCAGAGCCCAGUACAAGCUAUGUUUUUUGGUCAUGUACAAGCUUCUUUGAAAUGCCCAAAACAAUAUUUCAUCUUCCAUUUUCUUCUUGAUUGGCCUUUUAAGGUAUGGAAAGUUCUCUUCUAGACCUUGAGCUCAUCCAAAUAUGAUAAUGAUGAAAUUUGUAAGGAUGAUCUUAAUUUCUCCAAUAUUAGUAACUGAAUGGAUUCCCAGUCCCCCAUUUGGAUCAACCAAACAGGAGGCAGAUGAUGGCUGCUUCCAUGAACAAACUUGAUCUCCCAAUGGUAUGAGAUUGUUAUAAUACCUUCAUAUGAUUAUUGAUCAAUGACAGCAUCCUUAGAAUUAAAUCCUUGAAUGAGUUAGAACUGAUGAAAUGCUGGGAUGCUGACUACCAUGAAACCUUGAGGCUGAGGCUCAUAUUUGAACACCCCAAAUGGACCAAUUUUCAGCUAACAAUCAGAACUUAAGAUAAGCUUUUGGAGGCCAUUAGAAGCUGUAAAUGUAUGGGAUAAGUGCGAGAGGAAGAUGAGGAUGUUGUAACAUAUCACUUUCUCCCAUUCUUAUCAUAUGUUGACUUGUCACAUGUCCAAUGCCAAUGGGCUCUUAUUUUUAGGCAUCAAACCAUCUACAAGCAUAUUUUCUUACCAAAUAAGCCUCAUGAACAAGAACUUUUCAGCAUAUUUUUAUGAAAUGACUUAAAGGCAUGAAAACUUGCGAAAACACAUGUAAACAUGCUUAGGUCAAAUAAUUAUCCCCUAUGGAGCCCUCAUAGAUUUCAAUUGACCAGUCAAAAAUUCCCUAAGCAGUGAACAAUUUUCCCAAUUAUAAACAUGGCAUGCACGUCACCUCAUAAUUUCUUCAUCACCUUUCCUCCUCCUCAUUGUAGUGUUAGAAGCACAACCAUCAAAUGGGUAUUAUAUCAAACUGAAAAUAUCAAUCAUUGAAUAGUAAAAUUGAAUGGUUAAUGAAGAUAUAAAGAAAUAAUAUUUGUACAAAAUUAAAAAAAAAAAAAAAAAGUGAUUGGACUUUUUUACCUAAUGUGAAGGUAAAAAGGGUAGUCUUUGGGGUUUUAAACUUUUUACCCCUUCUUCACCCAUCUCCAUAAAGCAAUCUUUUGAGCCAUGGAUGACAUAGAAUGAAGGAAGACCCACUUGGUGGCCCUGAAAACAAAUCUUGGGUUCACCUUUUCACCGAAAGGUAAAAUCUUAGUUUAAUAAUUAAUUUAUGUGGGUGAGUGCCUAGAAGUGAUAAAAUCUAAGCAAGCAUGCGUUGAAGUUAAUGAUGGGUGUGGCAAAGAAUGAAAGGUUUUUUUUUUAAUAGAAAGAAAAAAAAAAGAUUGGGUUGUAAGGCUGAGAGGUGUCUUGAAAUUGAAAACCCCAAGCACCAUGCUCAAGUGCACGCAUUGCAACAGUGGUUAUGUUUUCAAAGAGUACAAAGUGCAUGAAUUUUAUUAGUUUAAAGCUUUUUCUGUCUUAUCCUCACCAACCCCAUUUUUGAAUUGGAUUUCUAUGCAGAUUUUUUUUUUAAUUAUUAUUUAAGAAAUGGUGGCACUGGUGAAUGCAACCUUGAUGAGUUAUUUUUUCACUGGUCCACUUUUAUUUUAGCACAUGUAAUUUAAAAUAUUAAGGCAAUGUUUGGUUGCACGUAAAAUCAAGGGAAAAUAUAUUAAAAAAAAUUAAUAAAUUAUUUUUAUUUGUUAUUUUAAACUUAUUUUAUUUAUUGAUAUAAAAAUUAAAUAAAUUUAAAAUAUGUAAACUUUUAAUUAAUUUUAAUUUUAUUUGGUAUUUUUGAAUAGUAUAAUUAAAUAUGAGAAAAUAAUUUUCUUUAAUAUUUGUUUUUUUUAACUAUUUUUUGAGAACCAAACACAUUUUAAAUAUUUUUCAUGUUAUCUUAUUUUUUUAAUAUAUUUAAAAUUUAAAUGAAUAAAAAAUAUCAUUUCAACUAUAUAUUUUAUAUAAAAAUUAGAUAAUUUAUUUUCCUAUAACAAGCCCAAAAAUUAACAAUGGAUUUUAAUUAACUAGAAAAAAAAGUACAUUAAACUUUAUUUAAUGUGGAAUUAAUUUAUAUUUUUUUUUCAAUGGGAUGUUGAUGGAAUGUGGGUUACCUGAGUAAUGUCUUUAAAAAAAAUUAAAGUAAAAAAGAGAAGGUGAGAAGGCUGCUAUUUAUUUAUUUAUUUAUUUUUGCAUUUUGUGUGUGAACGUGGGAUUAAAAAAUGAAAAGAAGACAGUGAUUGGACCAAUGAGACGAACGUGUGAUUAGAAGGGAGAAAGGAACGGUGAGUGCACCGAUAAGAAGUCUAAACUCCAAAACCUCAAAAAAGAAAAGAAAUAAUAAUAAUAAUAAUAAUAAUUUUAAUAGGGUUUUAUUUUUCCCAUUUAAUAGAAAAAAAAGAUAAAUAAAUUCUAAGAAGCAUGUUGGAAAAGUUUAUUGAAUUUAAAGUUUAUUUUUUAUUUUUUUUUUUUUAUUUUUUUCUCAAUUUUUGUUAUAUAUUUUCUUGUAAGUAAGGGUAGUAGAUUCGAGAGAAAGGACUUUAGAAUCGAUUGAUUAUUCUAAUUUUAAAAUGUUUCAACAAGUAAAUGAAUAAGAUAUGAUGAUUGAAAUUAUGACAAUUAAGAUGGUCGAUUGAUUCUAAUCUUUUCCCCCAAUCUACUACUCUUAAUUAAUUGUAGUUCGAAACAAUUUUUCUUAAAUUUUUCAUCCAAAUGAAGUAUUAGAUGUGCUUUUUUCUACUCUAAAAUAAUAUUUUAGUUUUAAAAACACAUUCUAUAAAUUUUAGAACGAAAACAAUUUUUAAAAAAUGGGGUUAUCUUAUAAAAACAAAUUUGAUAUAAUUUUAGUAAUUUUUUAUAAAAUAUUUUAAGAAAUAUAUAUAUAUAUUUAAAAAAAAAAAUCUAAAACAUUACAUCAUGCAUAAAAAUAAUGUACCUUCAUAAGAAUAAGAAUUCAAUCCCAAAAUAACAUAUCAUGCCAAACACACAUGUAUUAUUUUUCUAUAUUUCAUCCAGACGCAUCCUUCCAAAACACGACUCUUGAAAAGAUCUUUUGGUCUAUAUAAUUUCCUUCUUAAUUACUUCUAUUCCAUGAUAUGAUGCAAUGCAUGAUCAAUGCUUAAUUUUCUUUGGCGGAAUGCAAGGGACUUGACACUUGGGACUUGCGGUUUGGAGCCUUCCCAAUCGAAGUACUAGCUAUGAAGAAACCCAUGGAACUUGUAUUUAGUCAUUGUCUUGGAUUGCCUCAUCUUAUUUUAAAUGCCUUGCAACUCCAUCUCUAAUUUUAUAAUUUUCAAUUUUUUUUUAUUAUUUCGACUCUAAAGCCGUCUUUGAAUUAUUUUCUAAAAUAAUUCUAAAAGCUGAUUUUUAAAAAUUAUUUUAUGAUAUUUUAGUGAACAAAAGUUAAUUUGAGAACUUAAAAUUUUCUUAACAUAUUUCUUAUAUUUUUAAAAUUAAUUUUAUAUGCAGUGUUUUAUUUUUAAUUAUUUUUUAUAUUUGUAUAAUUAUGUUUUAAAACAAUCACAAAACAAAUGAAAUAAUUGAAAGUGUUAUCUAAAAACAUCAUAUUUUUUAUUUUUUAAAAAUAAAAAUCGAUUUUCUUUUAUAUAAUUAAUAAACAUGCUUUCCUUUUUUUUUGUUUUAAAAAACAUAAAACCUUUUUAAAAAUUAGUUAUUAAAAAAAGGCCUAACCAUGGCCAAAAUAAUAUUCAUUUAUUAAUUUGUCUUGGACACUCUUAGUCGAAGGUACCAAAAAUUAGUAUCUUAUACCCCAUAAUAACUUCUAUAGAAUCCUAGAAAACAGGAAUGGACUAAUUUCUAUUGCCAAAGGAGUUCUAACUUCUGACUACUAUACCGGAGCCAAAGUCCUAACCAACCCAACCCCACCACACCACCGGACUUGGCUUGAACUGGGGUGGCCAGGUGGUCUGCUAGUUAGAAUUGGGCUUGGGGUGGCGUCACCUUCCUGACUCAAAACGCCAAGUUGAAGCCUUAGCAGGUUUCCAGUAGCAUGUAUGGCGCGGAAUGGUGAUGGGGUAGGGUCUACAUGAAAGGCUUGCAAAUCCUCGCAUACUUAUCCUUCUCCUGUCUUCCAAUCUUAGCCCAGCCCCUUUGACAAGCGCGUAGCCCAAAAAUGAUUAAUCGCCCCCAGUCAGUGGGCAACGAGGAGACCAAAGAAUUUUUACUAGUAAUACUUCUAAUUUAACAAAACAAAAAGAAAGGGAAAAAGAGAGAAUAAAACAUAAAAACACAGCCACAGCCCAUCCACGGCCCAUGAGCAAGAAAAGAGAAUCCAAGAAGAAAGAGGGGAAAAAGAAGCAAGAAGGGGUGGAGGGUCUCUGCAAAGCUUAAAAAAGGUCUCCAAACAAGUACUUAGAGACACACCACCUCCAACCAAAUUGCUUUUUCUACACUUUCUACUACCAUUAAUUCAUAGGAGAUAGAGCCAUACACCACCUUACCAAGUUAUCAAUAGCAAUACCUCAUCCCAAAUCCAAACAAAGCUCAAAACAAAAAGCAAAAAACAAAGGGGAAAAAAAAAGGGAGGUCUGUGCUUUGGGGACUGCAAGUGCAAGCUUGCUCGCAACUCUCAAAGCUGUAUUGUAUAGUGAAAAAUAUUGCUGUAUUCUGCUUCUUACCCACUACCCCAAAAACCCAAACACAUGCUCCUCCAUUACAUUAAACUUUCUCACUACCACCACCUCCUCCUUCACCACCACCACCACCACCACCACCACCAACAGUAUCAUCAUCUUCUUCAUCUCAUCUUUCUUCUUCCUCAGAGUCUGCAGUAGAGAGACUAUCUUGCUUGAGGAAUUCAAGUGAGCCAAGAUGAUUAGUUUAUUAGACUUCUACCAUGUCAUGACUGCAGUGGUUCCACUCUACGUGGCCAUGAUCUUAGCUUAUGGGUCGGUGAAAUGGUGGAAGAUCUUCACUCCAGACCAGUGCUCCGGUAUAAACCGAUUUGUUGCUCUCUUUGCUGUUCCUCUUCUCUCCUUCCACUUCAUCUCCACCAACGAUCCUUAUGCCAUGAACUUCAGAUUCAUAGCUGCAGAUACCCUUCAGAAGAUUAUAGUCUUGGCAGUGUUAGCUGUGUGGAGUAAUGUGAGCAAAAGGGGUUGCCUAGAAUGGACUAUAACACUCUUCUCUCUUUCCACGCUUCCAAACACUCUGGUGAUGGGCAUUCCUUUACUGAAAGGAAUGUAUGGAGAGUAUUCUGGUAGCUUAAUGGUCCAAAUUGUUGUACUUCAGUGCAUCAUAUGGUACACUUUGAUGUUAUUUCUGUUUGAAUAUAGAGGUGCAAAGAUGCUCAUCUCUGAGCAGUUCCCAGAUACUGCUGGCUCGAUUGUGUCCAUCCAUGUGGAUUCUGAUAUCAUGUCAUUGGAUGGAAGGCAAGCCUUGGAAACUGAGGCUGAAAUUAAGGAGGAUGGGAAGCUUCAUGUCACUGUGAGAAAAUCAAAUGCUUCAAGAUCAGAUAUAUUCUCCAGAAGGUCACAGGGGUUGUCGUCUACCACUCCACGGCCAUCGAAUCUAACAAAUGCAGAGAUAUACUCGUUACAGUCCUCACGAAACCCAACUCCAAGAGGGUCCAGUUUCAAUCACACUGAUUUCUACUCAAUGGUAGCGGGUGGGCGCAAUUCAAACUUUGGUUCAUCUGACGUGUACGGCCUGACCACUUCGAGAGGCCCAACGCCGAGGCCUUCCAAUUAUGAAGAAGAUGGUAACAACAACAACAAGAUCAGAUUUCACUACCACGCUCAGGGUGGUAACCAUUACCCGGCACCCAACCCAGGCAUGUUUUCGCCGACUGGGUCCAAAAAUGUUGCUUCUGCUGCUGCUGCUAAGAAGCCUAAUGGCCAAGCUCAGCAGAAGCCAGACGAAGGAACUAGGGAUCUUCAUAUGUUUGUUUGGAGUUCAAGUGCUUCUCCUGUUUCAGAUGUGUUUGGGGGCCAUGAAUACGGAGCCAAUGAUCAGAACGUGAAAGAGAGAGUGGCAGUGUCUCCCGGAAAAGGUAGUUUUUUUUUCCUUUGCCAUGUUUCUUUGAUUUAGAUUUGUAUUUGUUGAGUUUUCAAUCAUUUUUUCUUGCGGGUUUGGAUUAUCAGUGGAGGGUCACAGAGAGAAUCAAGAAGAUUACUUGGAGAGAGACGAUUUCAGCUUUGGAAACAGGGUGUUAGCCCAAGAGAUGAACAACCACGAAGGUGAAAAAGUGGGAGAUGGAAAAGCCAAAGCCAUGCCUCCAGCUAGCGUCAUGACUAGACUCAUCCUGAUAAUGGUUUGGAGAAAGCUCAUCAGAAACCCCAACACUUACUCAAGCUUAAUAGGCCUUAUUUGGUCUCUAGUUUCAUUCAAGUGCGUGUCUCUUCUCUGUUGAUUCCCCCAUUAAACCCAUUAGAUUCUUGAAGACUUUUCCAAGUUUUCCUUCAUUUUUCAGUAUUUGAACCGUUGUAAUUUCUGGGCUUUUGUCUUUUUACUAAUAUUUUCUUUGUGGGUUUCUUGUAGGUGGAAAGUUCAGAUGCCUGCUAUUAUAGAAAAGUCCAUUGCCAUACUGUCAGAUGCAGGGCUUGGCAUGGCCAUGUUCAGUCUAGGUCAGUAACUUGAAUCAAAAUUCUCUCUCUCUCUCCCUCCCUUUCCCAAUCUUUUCUGAUUCUCUCUCCUUACUUUUUCAUAAUUAAAUUUUCAAGAAAAGCAAACAAAGCAAAGCAACAAACAGUGUUCUCAUAAUAACAUGUCUGCAUCUUUCCAUAAAAAUGUUUGGUUAUACGGGGGGUAAUGGUAAUGGGAGGUUGUGGGGGUGAUGAUGAAAGGUCUUUCAAAGUGUCUGGUGGUGACUGACAGUGGUUUGUGGGUGUGGUGGUGAUGGCAUUGAUUGAUGACAGGUCUGUUCAUGGCUUUGCAACCAAGGAUCAUAGCAUGUGGAAAUUCCAUAGCAGUUUUUGCCAUGGCCGUGAGAUUCCUUACAGGCCCAGCUGUCAUGGCAGCUGCUUCCAUUGCUGUUGGGCUUCGCGGAGUCCUCCUGCGCGUUGCCAUUGUCCAGGUCAUUCCUUUCUUUCUCUACCUUUUGAUUCCUUUCCUCUCUCCCUCCUUUUCUUUACUUUGCUUGCUUGCCUCCUCCUGACACAACCAAUCCUACUUAACUCUCCAAGCUUCAAUCACUUUAAUCCUUUAAAAAAACACACACACAGAGAUUGCUCCUUUCAGAUAAGUUUUUUUAUUAUUUCCCUUUCAAUUUACCUUUGUCAAAAGACUCUACACAGUACCCACCUUUUAUUUAAUGUCAUACUUGAAAAUACCAACAAAAUGCACACAAAAACAGAAAAAAUAUUUAUACAUUAAUUAAUCCAAACUCUGAAUAUUUAUACUUUGACCCACUAUCUAUUGGCAUUUUUUUUUCUCCUCAUAUGCUUGGAUUGACAAGCUUUGAAAAACAGGCAGCUUUACCCCAAGGAAUCGUGCCCUUUGUCUUUGCUAAAGAAUACAAUGUACACCCUGAUAUUCUCAGCACAGGGUGAGUAUAUUUUCUCGCUAAAACACAAGAUUUUUCUUUUUUUAGCUUUCCGACUUUUCUUUUUCUAAAGUGUGGUUGAAUGCACUGCAGAGUCAUAUUUGGGAUGUUAAUUGCAUUGCCCAUUACACUUGUCUACUACAUUUUACUGGGAAUAUGAAAAGAGGAGGAUGCAUACGGCUUGGCAUCUUAUGCAAAAAGGCUCAGCCAGGUCCAUUGCUGCACCAGAAACUUGGACGGGGAAACCAGAAGGAAGAUGAUGAAGAAACUGGACCAUGGAUGGAUCUUUUCUUAUGGAUUGUCUCUUUUAGUAAAGUUGUAAAAUCAUGUUUGUAGUCAAUUUAAAAAAAAAAAAAAAGAAAAAAAGAAGAAAAAAAAAUCUCUCUAGUUAAGUAUAACUUCUCUUCCUUCUAUUCCAAGAAUUUAUUCUAUUUUCAAAGCAAAAGAGAAAGAAAAGUGGUUGAUGUGAUGAUAUGCUCUUGCAUUCAAUUUACACCAAUGUUGUGUUUGGCCUCCAAGAAUCUUAUUAGUUCUAGUUGGGUUUGAAGAGGAUAUGCUUCCCAAGGCCCUUUUGAUAUUCUUGACUUGUAAACAAUCAAAUGUAGGGUGAUGGUUAAGGCAAAGGGCAGGAUGCAUAUAUAUGAGGUAUGUUUGUUCAUGGAUUUGAGUGUAGCUUUUUUGAUUUAUUAUUAUAAAAAAAACUUUAAUCAACCUCAAUUUGUCGCAUUCAUAAAAUUAGGUAACCUUAAGCGACAAUUCUUCGCAAAUUUUACGCUAAUUUUGUAUUUAGUUUUCACAAUCUAGCUAGUACAAGUUGGGUUUGAUGGGAUUUUAUUGGCAAAGGCUUUUAAUUUUCCUUUUGAUUUGAAGAAAAUGAAAUGUAGGUCCAUGGUUAAGAUAAAGGGAUACAUGAGGGGUAGUGUUUUUUCAUGGAUUUGAGUGUUCAAUUUUAUUUUGUUGUUAACACAAGUAAACAUUGAUUAACCAUAAUUUUGUCACACUCAUAAGUAGGUAGCCUUAAGUUAAGGAUGACUCUCUUACAUAAUUUUGCACUAAUUUUGUGUUUGGUUUCCUAGAAUCUUAUUGGUACAAGUAGGGUUUGAAGUGGGAUAUCCUUGCUAAGUGCCUUUAGUUUGCUCUUCACUUGAAGACAAUUUAAUGUAGUGUCAUGGUUAAGGUAAAGGGACACACAAGGGGCACAUGUUUCCAUGGAUUUGAGGGUUCAUGUUGAUUUUGUUAACAUAAAUAAAUUUUGAUUAACCAUAAUUUGUCACUUUUUGUUAAAGUAGAUUGUUUUAGGCUUUGGUCUCUUUAUAUUAAUUUCACACUAAUUUUUUGUUUGGUUUCGCCUUUAUCUUCCUAGUGCAAAUUGGGUUUGCCCUUGGUAAGGGUCUUUAAUUUUCUUUUCCCUUACACACAAAAACUCAUUUUAGUUGCAUAGUAUUAUAAUCCAUCUUUAUUUUCAUUUCAAUUUAUAUUUCUAUUCUCCCGGACUAAAUACAAGUAAAAUGAUGAUUCUUUUGGAUUGAUUUUAAAUUAAUUUUAUGUUUGAUUUUUAAGAACCUUACAUCGAUUAUUUUUGUUCACGUGGUAUUAUGAUAGAUUGUUAUUUCUAUUUCGAUUUUUGUUCUAUUCUAUUCUCGCACGUUAAACACAGGCAAAAUAGUGAUGCUCCUAAAUCGAUUUCAAACUAAUUUUGUGUUUGGUUUCCAAGAAUCCUACUAAUAGAAGAUGGGGUUUGAAAGGGAUAUGUUUGGCAAAGGGCUUGGUUGGUUUUCUUUUGACUUGAAGAUAAUUAAAUGUGUAAUGUAGGGUCAUGGUUAAGGCAAAGGAGGCACAUAUAUGUUCAUGGAUUUGGGAGUUAAAAUUUGAUUUGUGAACAAAAACCGAUUUGAUUAACUCUAAUAUGUCACGUUUACAAAAGUAGGUAACCUUAAGUGAUGAAACUGGUGGGUGGGUGGGUGAAAGAAGAUUUUGUUGUGACCUUUUGCAUUGAGAGGGGAUGAGACCUGUGACUAGUGAGGGCUAUGGAUUUAGAAUGAAUUUAGAUAGUGCAAUGGGGGUCCCCCCAUUAUAAGAUGGGGAUUGAUUUGAUGUAGACUCCUUUAGAAUAUUGCUAGACAAUAGUCACAUCUAAAGUUUCUUCUCCUUUUCUCUGCCCUCUUUUCUUAAUCUCCCUAUUCUUUUAGUUACACAUAUUGCCAUUUUUUGAAACAUUUCCUUUUCACUAUUGGGGUGUGUUUGGUUCAUGUUUGUAUAAGAUACUUUUCCUUACAAAUAUCCAAAGGUUGCGAUGAGGAUAUUCCUGUGCCAAGUGAUAUGGGAUGGGAUGAGCUCUUCCACUCACCUGUCCAAGUGAUAUCUUUAUUGUAUAUUUUGGAAAGUCACAUUUUUUUUUUUCCUUUAAGCGUGGGGAAAUCAUAGCUAGGGUGUCCUUUUUAUGCUAAAUGGAUGGUUUGGUGCGGCAGACCCUUCUUCUGUAAAGAAAAAGUAUUCUUUUUGAGGUGGGAUGAUAUUCAUUUAGGUCAUCUUCUCGUAUAGUGGCAAAGAUAUUAUACCUUUACUAUGCUUCAAAACUAAUUUUAACUUUUAGAAUUUAAUCAUGGAGAUUAAUUUUUAAAUUAGUCCAUUAAAACUACAAAAUAUGAUGUUUUUGGAGUGUAAUCAUAGAUUAUAAAGAACAAUGAUAUACAUCAAACUAAUUAUUCUUUACGUACGACGUUUCUUUUAGUACUCAGAUCCCAAAAGUGAAAAGGAAAUAUUUAGACUUCAGAGUAUCAAAAAUUUUUAUUUCUUUAUUAAAAUUGGAUAAAUUAGUUGUAAAAUUAAGCUUGUAAAGUAGGAAUUUUUUAUUUGAUGGAAAAAAAUAACCCCCACUUUCAAAAAAACUAUAAAUUAUGACUUUUUUGUGGAGAUAAGGAGCAUUAAUUAUGUUGAAUUGAAACCAAAUAUUUACAAUUUUAACAAGUCAAUGCUGGGAUUAUUUUGUCUUUUUAAUUAAAAUAUUAAGUGAUAAUUUGAAAUUACCAAUAUAUUUGAAUAAAAAAAUCAUGUGAUGUAAAAAUUUAAAAUGUCACUAUCAACUUGAUUCAUGAAAGAUCUCAUAGGAGCACGAUGGACAGCCAUUGAGGCUGAAAAUUGUUAGCUGGCAGAUGGAAUUAAUCCGAAUGUAUUCAUGAGUUGAGACAAAAGCAUGCAUUAUGAGCAGUAUAUACGAGGGACAAAGCAGCAUGGGCUAAAGGCAUGGUGACCAUCCCUACCCAAUGUCCUGCUCCUAGCCUUAGCCUAAAUGAUCAAAACCAAAAUUUUAUGUACUUUUUGAUUGAAUUUCCUACUAACUUCCCCACUUGCAGAAGAAUCUAUUUUGGUGAAAUUUGACUAGAAGCAAUAAGUGCCCUCAAAAAUGGCUGAAAGGCAUGCAAUCGGGGCCAGAAGGAGUUGGGUUUGGGCAUGAUUCAGGCCAAGGCACAUGGUUGAAUGUAAUAGCCCAUUAAGUUGUUUGCUGGUGCUGCAUGCUCUGCAGGUAAUGGUAAUGGUAAUGGAAGCUUCAUGGGAUUUUGAUGACUUGGCUACCAAUAGUUUUGGGGGUUUGGCCUACCAAGUGUGGCAUCUUGAAAACAUGUCACCAUACAUUAUGCAUUUUGUCAGUGAAUAAUUGUGCCCAUUGCCUCACAUACUUGCCUACAUCUGUGGCCUCCACGACCAACUACCUUAGUCAAGACCCCUCUUCAUUGCUCAAGUGGAAACAUGAAAUUUUCUUUUUCUUUUUCAACUCUUUUUUUUUUUCUCUCGGUUUAUUCUCUCUUCUCUUCUCUGUUUAAAAGCAUGAUGCGCCUUAUGAACUCAUACCUUAUAAGUUUAAACUUUUUCAUAAUUUUUUUUGUCAUCUAGUGAUAAAUAUAUUUUACUAUAAAAAUCUUAUUUUUUUGUUAUGAAAACUUUUAUGACGAACUAUCAUUUUUGUUAUAACGUUGAUAUUAGAACUUUGUUUAGUGGAAAAUCUUAUCUUCGAACCUCACAAUCGCUAGUGGUAGAGUCAAAAAAAUAGGUUAAGAGACAAAAUAAUAUAUAAGACUUAUUAUAGGGGGGCAAAACAACAUUAAAUUACUUUGCGUAUUGUAGUGGUAGACAAUUAGUUUUCGUAGAAUUUUUUAUCCAGGUAUCAAAUCCUAUGACUACUUGCCCCUCUUGGAUACUACUUCAUCUAGGUAUCAAAUUCUAUGACUACUUGCCUCUCUUGGAUACUACUUCGUUCCACACCCUUGACCGUUGUAUUAAUUUUCAAUGUCGUUGUCUUUUUUAUUUUCUUGUUGAAGCAAGCUCCAAAAUUUGGUAGACUUUCAUUUUCGUUCCUUUGUAGUUUUAUUCAACUAUACGUUCACCCGUGCUUUCUCCACAAAAAUCAUUUUCCAAAUAAUAAUUGGAUUAUUGUAUGAAUUAAAUGACCCAAUUAUGUGAAUUGGAAUUUGCCUUCACCAAAUCCCACCUUGCUUGAUUUGAGGUCCCUACUAAAUAUUUGGGUUCACUAGAUUUGAUGCCAUAAAUUUUGGUUACAUAAUUUGCAACCUUUAAUUAGUUUUUAUGUAAACACCCUCUAAAUACUCAUACUAUUAAAGUUCAUUUUAGUUAUUCAUUAAUUUAUUUCAUUUUCUUUCACAUUUUGCUAUCUACUUUUUAUCAUUUUCUUUCGUCAGGUAAUGAGUUGUGUCCUUGCCAUUGAAAUUCAACUCUUCUACCUCACGGAUGAGUGCUAUCCUAGUCAUUGGAAUUGAACUUCUCAUUGAAAAUAGUUUGGUUUUUAUUUUAUUUUAUUUCUCAAGACCACCUUAACCAAUCCAUUGUGCAAGAUUACUACAAUGUAUUUGUAACACAUUUUUAGUGACUUCUUUGAAUUAAAAAUGCUCUCCCUAAAAUUUAAAAAUAAAAAACACUUUGACUGUAAUUACUUUAAGAUAACACAUUAACGUUAUAAUAUUUAGAGUACAUUUUAUAGUGAUUUUAAAAAAUGUUUAUAAUUUUUUAAAUAUUUAAAUAAUAAAAAUUUUCAAGUAUUAAAAAUGUUAAAAAUAUUUCUUAAAAUCACUGUUAAACUGAUUCAUGUAUUUACGAGUAUUUAUACUUAAAGUAUUUUUUUUGUAAAGUGUUUCUUAAAUUUUAUCAAAUACUUCACAUUUUUCAUAAACAAGUUUUAAACUGUCAGUAUUUCCUAGAAUCACUGUCUAAGUGAUUUUAGGAAACACUUUCAAUAUUUUUAACAUUUCAAAAAUUUUAUUAUUCAAAUAUUAAAAAUAUUUUCUAAAAUUAGUGUCAAAUGUAAGUUAUCAAUUAAUAACUAUUUAAUAUUUUUUUAAUUAUAUGUUAUGAAAGUUCAAUUUUAAAAUUUUAUAUUUAUUGUAAAUUUUUAUUAUUAUUAUUAUAAUGAAUAGGUAAAAAGACAUGUGAAAUUAAUUUUCACUUUUUUUUUUUUUUUUUUGCCUCUCCCACAGUCCCACUUGGUCUUCUCAUUUUGUCUUGUUCCUUGCCCCAUAAAUAUUUCAAACCAUCAUUCACUUUUAUCGAGCCGCCCAGAUGAAAGGAUGUCACCUCUUCUUUUCUUCUUUUUCCGACAUAUUAUUGCAAAUGAUUCAACUCUGGUAUUAUGAACUUGUGAGCAGCCUACGAAAUUUACAAUACAAUUGUGUAGUGUUAAAGUCAAAAGAAGGGGGCUCAUCAAAGCAUACUAGACGAUAAACCAACCAACGAAGUAUAAAUGUGAGUUAGCACACGCAACAUUGUCUUGUCCCUUGUCAUCAACUACCGAGCCACCGCUCUUUCAAUUCUUCUUGGAUCAUGUUUGGUAGUUGGGAGCCGCACCUAGGAUUACCAUCUCUUUCUGAUUCCUCAUUUGAACUAACCAUUAUGAAUUCAGAGACUCAUUGGAGACUAUAACCUCUUUUUCAAAUAUCCCAUUACUCAAAUAAUCUUUCUUUUUUCUUUUUGUUUUUUUUAAUUAUAAAUAUUUUUAGAAAAAGAAAUUAAAAAUUAAUGAAAACACUAUAAUGGCCCUAUACUAGGCUACUAACUACCCUCUUAGCCUUUUUUAUUUUACAUGUUAUAUGCUAAUGAUGAGAAGAAUGGUGUAUGAUGAUGUUGGAUAAAAAUGUUUAUUAUAUUAAGUUAAUUUUAAAUUAAAUUAUUUAUAAGUUAUUAACUUUAAAACUUAGUAUUUAAUUUUUUUAUGUGAAAUAUUAAGAUUGAUUAAAAAACUUAACUUAAUUGUUAAAUAUUUAUAUUCAAAGCGUUAUAAAUAUAUAAGUUAACAAUAAAAUAAUAACUACGAAAAAUGUCUGAUAGUAAAAACUAGUUAACUAUUUUGACUUAAUACUUAAAAGUUAUUUUUAAUUUUAAAUUAUAAUAUUAAAUUAUUUUAUCAAUGUUUAAUCUAUUUAAUGAUUAAAAUUAAGUUAUUAAAUGCUUAAGUUGAUUUAUCAAAUACUCUUUUAAUAUUCAAUGUUAUUGACAAUCCUGUCUAAGUAAAGAUUUCAAAUAUAUCAUAUUCCAUUUUGGGAUUUACUUGAAUUGCGGAAUGAAGUUUCACAUUCAAACAAGUUCAUGUUUGCUAUUAUUGCUAUUAAUAUUUGAUUUUGUAUGAAAGGGAAGCUUUUUAAAUCAAAUCAUGGGAAAAUGAAGAAGAAAAUCGCAUGCAAAAACCUUUCUAGACGACACAUCUUGAAGUCUGUCUCAUGGUUCAAUUCUUGUAAAAUUUAGUUACUAGAAUUUCAUUUGAUUAGGGCACGUCAAAUGACAAGAAAGAUUCACGAACCUCAUAGAAUACAGUGUAUGUAUAAAGGAAAUGAUUAAUUUUAAUGUCUCAACUACAUACGUCACUCUAAUGAAUGCUUUGUAAUCUAAUAAUUAUCGUUAAUUUUCAAUCCACAAAAUAAUUCAAUUUAUGAUCAUGUUGUGAUAAAAGUCUUAAUAUCAAAGGAAUAUUUCUUCAUCAUAAUUAUUUAUACAUACAUGUAUAUUCAUCUGGCACACAAACGCUUAAGAAAGAGGGCACUGGCCAUUCAUUCAUCAUCAUUUCUGCACUGAAUAUUCAACAAGGAAUAUUACACACUUAAAUUCCCAAAUUGGAGAUUCUCUUCUUGGACUAGCGAACACAGGGGGAGGCUCCUGAUGGUGGCACUUCAGCAACGUAAACAACCUUGAAUUUUUUUAAUACAAGUAUGAAAAAUAGAAAAUAGAUAUUAAAAUAAUGAAAAAGGUCAUAAAACAUAAAGAUAGUUUUAUAGUUUUUUUUAACACAUUUUUCUUUAAAUUUACUUUUUUCGGGAAAGAUAAAAAGGAAUUUAAAAUUAAUAAUUUUUUUUCUCAUUUUUCUUUAAAAUUAUUUUUCUUCCUUUUUAAUUAAAAAAUUAACAUCUUAAAAUUAUAAAUUAUUAAAUAAUUUCAUAUUUGAUCUUUUUUUUUUUUUUUUCAUAUUUUAAAUCCUUUCUUAUUAAAGAUGACAAUAGAUCAAUUUUUUUUUUAGGUAUUUACCCUUAAUAAGGCAAAUUUAUGUUAGUGUAAAAUUAGAUUUACUUAUAAAAUAAAGAAAGUUAUUAAGAAUAUUUACAUAAAUAUUUUAGGUAAUGAGGGCAAAAAGUUAUGAAAUAGAGAUGAGUUUGUAGAGAUUAUAUGAAAUAGAUAAAAAUACGAGGAAGAAUGAGAGACACCCAUGAAAUGAGGGAGCUAAUGAUUCAAGGGAUGGAUACAAAGAGUAGGGAAUGUGGAAAUGUUUCAAGAACUCAAUAAUUGUAUCUGGUUUUUUUUUUUUAUGUAAUAUUUUUUUUACAGUAUAAUAAAAAAAUUCUCUCUCAUUCGUAAAUGUAAACAUGGUUAGUCGAACUACGCUAAAAUAUCGUGUCAAGACAAGUCAUCCUUCUAAUUAGGAGGUGGUGCACUACAGUCUCUACUGAAUUGCCUAAAUCCAUGAACCAAUUGUAGAAAACUUAUCUACUUACAAGAAACUCGUGACUUGUACAUUCCAUGCAACUCCUAAUGCACCCAAGUCAUGUAAAAUAUUAGAGACAUGGGUUGAAUGCUCAAAUCAAUGUCAAUACAUCAAAGGGAUAACAAGGGGAUAGUGAAGUAUCGUGCAUAUGAUAAUUUUAUCUUUAUGUUCUUGAAUUAACCUUAUUUAUAUUAAAACUUUGGUUCGCACAACAAAUCCCAUUAAAAUUGAUCAAUGAAUGAGAACAUAUGAGAUUAGAGAAAUGUAAUAAGGUAUAAACACAUGAUCAUACGAAGGUUUAAAUAAUUAAUUUCUUUUAGAAAUCUUGCAUUCAUUUUAAUUCCAAUUUAAUUAUUUUUGUCGUGUGAUCUAAAGCACUGCAAGUCAAGAAAGAGAGGCAUGCGGUGGAAUAAUCUCUCCAUUAAUAAAUGAAUUUAGUAUGGGUAUUGAAGAUAAAAGUUGUCCUUGCAUUCAAUUUUGGAAGACGAGCAGCGGCUCUUUGGCCAUUACUAUUCGCCAGUGGGUCGUGUUAUUUCUGAGUACAAUUUUUAUUUCUUAUUUUAAGAUUUCUUUUUUAAAAAAUAUGUUUAAUUAGAAGACAUAAAAAGAAAAUAUUUCUAAGGAAUUAAAUUAUAAUUGAUGUUGACUUGGCGGCUUUUACUUGUUAAAUGAUAUAAUAAAAUGUUUAAUCUAUUUAUAAUAAAUGUAUAAUUUGGCUACAUAAGUCGCCUUUUACUUAUGCAUUUGGUAGUACAUCGAAUAUAAAUUCAACUUGGAGAAGUGUCUUGUCUUGCUUGUUAUGAGAGAGGAAACUCUUGGACCACUUUUUUCGCUAAUUGUAGAUGGAUAGGAAUAAGUAUCUAUCCUUUUGAUGAGAAUCGAACUCGUCUCAUCAACAUAAAAAUUCAAUGUCUUGAACACCAAAUGAAAGGGACCUAAAAGCCUAAUCUUCAACUACCCUAAGCUCUACAAAUAGAAGUGGUUUGUUUUAUUUCUCCGUUUGAUUGUGUUUUACAUAAUUACCUAGUUAUGAUUUUAAUGUUAUUAUCAAUUCAGUUAUAAACAAUAUCCUUAGACUAUUUAUCCUCCAAACUAAAAAAUAAAUUAACUAAAAAAAAGAGCAACUUAUUGUACAAGGGUAUGAUCAUCUCCUCAAGGAUUGCAAUAAGCUUUCAAUAAAGAAAAAAAUUGAUAUUCAAAUAAAAAUUAUUAUUAUUUAUGUCCUAAAUCUAAAUGAUAAAAUGAAUCCUCUUUUGUUAUGAUUUUGAAAUAACAUUACAAUGUAAAUGGAACAAAGUUCUUAAGGAAAACAUAGUAGUGUGAAAUGAGCAAUAAGAUUGAGAAACCAUCAAGAUGAAGUUAUAUAUUUAAGAUCAAAUUUUAAUUAAGAAUAUGAUCUUAUCAUUUCUUAAAAUGAAUUUACUCUUUCGAAUUCAAAUCUCUACAACUUUUAAGCUUUAACUGAUUUCAAGAUAUGACUUAAGAUUUUGAUAUCAUUGAUCAAACUUUGUUAUUAAUGAAUCAAAUCACAAAAAUAAUUUUUUACUAACACUAUGUAAGCAUUUGGGAUACAUAUUCUUGAUGAACUUGCAAAGAAUUUUGUCGUAUUGAUAGCUAAGAUUUACAAAUUUAGAAAAUAGAGAGAAUUUUAUCACAGAAGAUGUAUUAAAAUUUUCCCUCAAAUGUACUCAUCCUUUAAAUAAAUAAAGAUUUUACCAUACAGUAUAGGGUAUUAAUAUAGUCUUCCCUAUUAAUUAAUUUAGUCUUGAUUCCCAUACUUGAUAGCUAGGAAAUGUGAGAAAAUGAAGUUGAGGGAAAACAACAUUUUGAAAAGUUCUCUACUAAAUUUGAAACAUAAAUUACAUAGAGUGUAUAUAUUCCUCUAUAUUAUUUACUAACUAAUUAGCCUAAUAAUCUAUUUUAUUUAUGAAUACUAAUGUCAUAUGGCAAUCUCCUAACAUGUCAUGUAAUCAAGUCUAGAUGGAGUACAAAAGUUCAAAAAAGAGCUAUAGCACAAAAAAAAAAACUAGAAUUUGGUAUUACAAUUAUGAGGUCAACAUAAAAUAUCAAAAAUAAAUAAGUACAAUUAGUCAUGACCAAGGAGGAAAAUGUCAGGAUAUAUCGGCGAUAUAUCGUGUAUCGGAAGAGGUCGACACAAUAUUUCGUGAAGAAAAAUCGGAGGGGAGAUAUUUCCGUAAAUAUCGCCAAAAUAUCGGCAAUAUAUCGGUUCGGGGAGAUAUAUCGGAGAUAUUUUGAAAAAAUCGCCUCUGGUGACAAAAUAUCGGUGAUAUAUCGGCGAUAUAUCAUUGAUUUUUUUGUGAUAUUUCCCCUCCUUCAUGCAACGUGAUCUGACGGCCCAAAUCACAUCCGUGUUUAUCCGACGGCCUAGAUGUGAUUCCAAUGGUAAUAUGGCAAUCCAACGGCCAGAUUACUCCCAGAUUUUGAUCCAACGGCCAAAAUUGAUUUUCAAUGGUAAAUUAAUGUUCCAACAGCUAUUUUGGCCCAAAUUUCUUCUAUAAAUAGCCCAAAUUUCAUCUAUUUCAUCCAUUUUUUCUUUCAUUCUUCAUUUGCUCUCUUAUUACUCCAAUUUUUAUUAAGGUUGCUUAAUUAUUUAAUCAUUUUAAGGUAUAUUUAAUUUAAAUUGUAAUUAAUUUUGUUUGCAAUUGUAAUUAGUUCAUGUAUUUUCAAUUAAUUAGUAUGUUUGCAAUAUGGAUGAUUUACUGCUAUUUUUACAUUCAAUUGUAAUUAAUUUUUAUAUUUUUAUUGAAUUAACUUAGGUUAAUUUGAUUAUUUAAUUAUAAAUUGAUAUAUUUAUUUUAGAUGAUUAUUUGUGAUUUAUUUUCACAUUUAGAAUUAAAUUAAACUAGUUAACUUAGCUAAAUUAUUUAAUUAAUUUAAUUAACAUCCUAAAUUAUUUAAUUAAUUUAAUUAACAUGAACUAGUAUAUUUUGAAUAUGAAAUAUGUUUAUUUAAUGAAUUUAAUGUGUACAAAUUAUUGAUAUUUAAUGAAAUAAAGUAUUUUAUGUGACUUUAUAAUGAGAACAAUUACAAAAUUAACAUUUUUUAUAGAUCGACAUGAUAUAAUUAUAUCUAAUAUCGCAAAUUAUAUCAUAUAUAUAUAUAUAUAUAUAUAUAUAUAUAUCAAAUUUUUCAAUAAAAUAACUUUAAAAUGUCCAUUAUACUUCUAAUUAUAUUAUUAUGAGGUUUUCCUUGCAUUUCUAUGAGUUUUUAAUAAUUUUAAGUCUAUCGAUAUUUUUUUCUAGAAUAUCCGCCGAUAUAUCUCCGAUAUAUCCGAUAUAUAUCCGAUAUAUCCGAUAUAUCCGUAAAAUCGAAGUACCGAUAUAUCCGUGAUUACCAAAAUUUUCAUCCUUGGUCAUAACCAAGUUUAACAUCUUAAUCGUUCUUCAUUUUGGUAAGGACGAUAAUGAACUUUAAGGACAUUCAUAACUUUAUAUUGCAAGAUGUUCAAUCAUUACUCCAACAUGAAAAACGAUUAAUAAUUCUUCGAAGACGAUUAAUUGUAAUUGUAAUGGUCAUUUGCUUCAGCCUAAUUUCUCUUAUUCUUCUCGAACACUCACAAAAGGACAAUUAGUUGUUAUUCUUGAGAUGAUUGAUUGUUUAUUAUAGAGUAACUAUGCUCUUAUCAAAGUAUAAUAGUUGUCUUUUCCAUAUAAUUGCUCUUCCUUUUUCUUCUUUUUUUUUUUUUUUUUUUGCUACACCUUCAUCCUUCCAACUUUAAAUAACCUCUCAAACUUCCAAGUACCCUUUUGCACAAUUAGUUCAUGGAUUCAUAAGCUCUCGCUCUCAUUCAUCAACUUAUAUAUAUCAUUAUUUUUAUUUCCACUCUAACUUGAGAGGAACGUUAAUGAUACAAAAUUAUGUUAGAAAAUACGCUUCCAUUGUUCAAAAUAUCAUAUAUUUUUUCAGUCAAUCAAUGGUAAAACUAAAGUAAACAAUUCUAGAUGUAUACCUUAUCUAUAUGUAUAAUGCAUAAGUAGACACUAUCCGCGCAGAAUCUCUCCAAAAUUCACAAGUUUGCAUGCAAUUAUUGUUAGUUGUAUAUAUAUAUAUAGGAGAGCUUUUCCCCAUGAAAUUUACUAUAAAAAUGAAUAAUCAAGAUUCAAAAAGAUUUUUAAUUGUGAAAAGUAAAAACCUCCCAUCCAAAGGCCUCUUUAGCUAUUGACUGAUGGGCAUGUCAAUUAUGCAUGUAUGUUCGUACUACUUUUUUUAAUUAAGGGAACUAUCUUAUAGCAAUCAGUGCUGCUCUCUGCCAAGGACCCCAUAACCCAAAAUAAAACUAGAAAAAAACGGUAGACAAAAGCUGAUAAAGAGGAGAGAAUAAAUGCAGAGAGAAGAUAUAAAGGAGCGGAUUUCCAUAAGAAAAGCUUCAGACCACCCUCAUGGACAACCACCAUUUUCUUUUGAAAAACAAAUCUUGCCUGUUUGAAUAAUUUUGACAGACUUGCAUGCCUUUCAAAUUCUCAAUCAAAUGAACAACUUUCUACUCACUCUUUUUUCUAUAUAUGCUUAAUAAGCCAUUAUUAAGUAAAAAUUUUAAAAUAUUCAAUCAUAUAUACUAAUGAUAGAGUAGGUAGUAUAAACUUUUUUAAAAGCUUCAACUGUAUGUAAAGAGAAAAAAAAUUGGUGACAAUUAUGGAUAUGAGGCCAUAAGUUAGAAAUAUAUCAACCCAAGUGGCGUUCAAUAUAUGAAUAAUUGAUGGGAGAGAUGACAACAUUAGUUCUAUGAAAACAUCAUGUACAAGACUAAUUUUUUCUUCAUUGGAAACAUCAAAUGCUAAGUUGGAUUAAUUGUUGACAUGAAAUGCUAAGUACAAAAUACUUUUUGUGCAUCACAGGAGGGACCACACAUAUUUUGGAGGUUCUCUCCUCUUGGAGGGGGGUCUGUUGUAUGAUAUAUAAAACCAUGCACGCACUUGUAUGAAACAACUAAACUAGUGAGCGAGCGAGUGAGUGAGUGAGUGAGAGUGAGUGAGUGAGUGAGUGAGUGAAAUUAACAUUUGAGUGAGUGAGUGGGGGAUGUGAAAGUGGGUACAGAAUGCCAAACAAAGCACUAAAAUUUACAAAAGAAAAGGCAGGCAACGUCAGUGUUGUCUUUAUCAGAUGGAUGCAACUCGAAAAAGAUAUCAGAGAAAGAGAGAGAGAGAGAGAGAGAGAGAGAGAGGGAGGGAGGGAGAGAGGGGGGGUCUGAGUUUUGGCUAAACGCUUUGGUGUCUCCCACUACCUCAUGUUGGGUCGGCCAUUUUGUAGACAAUCCUUUGUGGGCUUGUCCCGUCCGUAUUGAAACUCUCUUUCUCCUUCUCCCUUACCCCUUGUGCUAGGGAACUGAGAGGUGGGUGUGUGUUUGUUGCAUUCCUAGUCUUCCAUGAUUUCCAUCUUCCUCACUUCUCUAUAGUGAUCCAUUGAGAAUAUUGAGGCCUUUCCAUUAUUAAAAGUUGUUUGUACCUUUUCACUUAACUCUUCCAUCAACCUCUUGCCUGCACUCUCUCUCUCUGUAUGUAAACUAAAUGUGUCCUCUCUGCACGUGAGAGUGAUGAAUCCCAAUACUCACUGACAUGUUGUGUGUGUAUAUUUUAAUGUUGUCUUGGACCUUAGUUUUAAUUAAUGGGAAUGGGUGUGGGGUGGUCACAUUGUACCCAACUCCAUUAACUCACCACCUAAAGUAUAAAAAUAAAGGACUUAAAAAGUGGUGGUGAUCAGCUAACUAGAUAGCAUAUGGGCCCUCCUCCACCAUACCUUUGAUGCCCACCACCCAUGACUCUGCUUCUACCCUAAACAAUCGAGCCUUUAUUUGUGAUUAUGUACAAGGCGUGCUUUCAAGUGGCAGUUUUCAUUAAACCGCCCAACAUCUUCCCAAGCUUUCUCUCAUCACAAUACUUUAUUUUCUGCACAAUAUUCCCUUUUGUUUUUCAAACUUUUUAAUCCAAUUUGUUCCUUUCCAAACGAACCCUUAUUCUCUCGCACACAUAUGUUUACCAAAUGAAUGGUCACAACACUGUUAUUGAAGGAGCCAUAUAAACGGGCCGACAGCCGUGGAGGGCAUAUGUGUUUAGUGGAGACAUAUUCAUGGAGAAAUGGAAGACUAAAACAGCUCUUUCAACAUGCAAAUAUCUUACCUAAGAACAUCUUUUUAUGAAAAAAGUUGAUACACUAAAAUUUACAAUCAUGUUGAAAGAUCUACUUAGAUUAUCACAUUGUGAGCCCUGUAUAUACAUUUAUAUCACUUUCUCGGAACAUUACCUAGCCCUGAUGAGGCCAUAAAGACUAAUCCAUAGUGUAUGUACUGUCCUAGGCUUUUAUCAAAUACUCUAAUCCAGCCCAUUAAAUGGGUUAUAAAUAAUAUGAGGCAAAAAUUCAGCACCACGUAUUUUCAUGUCCUAAAACUUUGCUAAUAAUGAAUGAAGAAGAUAUAUACUAAAAAAAAUGGCAACGACUAUUUGUGAGAUCUCUAAUCAUUACCUUAACAGUUGCAAAGAAAAUGUGUGGGAGAAAUAUAAUGGGAAGAUGCAGGCACGCAUGGGGAGCAUGUGAUGAAAUGGAAGGGGAUAAAAUGCACCCAACAAAGCAUCGAAUCAAGAAGAAAAGACCCAUCCAUUAUUACCAAGCGUGUAGGGAAGUAAUUAGUGAGAGACAAACAAGGAGUCCAAAUGAAAUCAGCUCAAUCAUUUGACCCUAUUCCCAGCCACAUGCAUGCAUGUAUAUGCGACUCCUUGCCCCACCCCUGAUCUAAUCUUUCCACUCCUUCCCACGUUAAUGCUUGUUUUUUUGCAUGGCUUCCUGAUUAGGGUUCUCAUCUCUCUCAAUUUCUACAUAUCAAAUCUGUCAUUUAAUUGAAAGGAUGUUGCUUUGUUUUAAGGGUUUUGGUUGAACCUGCAGGUGGUUGAAUCCAGUUGAUAAAGAUAAGUUUUUUAAUUUCAGUUUGGAUGGUUUCAUAUGUAAGUGUUUCGUUAGAUUUUAGUAAGCAGUCCAACUUGGAGGGACGACAAGAAAGAUUUUAGAGUUGAGAAAAGUGUAGUAGCCUUCUAGGGAGAUCUUUCAAAAUAAAUCAAGUAGCCUUCUACCAUGAGGAUUAAAGUAGAUGCCUACCUUGAAAAUAUUUCAAUUUUGGCUAUGACCACAUGGAGCCCACUCAUAGUGUUUUGCCUAGAUGAGAGCCAAUUCCAUUGAAAACCCAUUUGUCAAUAAAUUGAACCAGUUAAGUAAUUUGAUAACUUGGCAUGCCCACAAAUGAUACCGAUGCUUUUGAUCUUCUCAACUCCAUUGAAGUCUAUCAAGACUCUUGAACCAUCUCAUGUACUUGAGAGUGACAUAGGCCGGCGCCGAGUCCAUCAUUAAAGUACCUAAUGUGCUUGGACUUCUUGAUCAUAAUCCUAACUCAAGAACACAAACACUCGAGCAUUGAUUAGUAGUUAUAGUCUUAAUGCAAUGGAAGCUCUUGUCUCUUAAAGAGGUGAAGAGAUAAUUGUUAAGAGAUAUCUUAAUAACAUGAAAAGCUUCUAAGCAAAGUCCACUAAUGGAAAUAGAAAAACAAGUAUCAUCAUUUGACAUGUUAAUUUCUUUUAUCAAUGGAUGGUGAGCACUUUUCUUUGUAUGCAUCUCCUAUGAAUGGACACUUAGUAUAUCAUUUAUGUCAUGGACCCGAAUCUUCCCUAAAAAUCCAAACGGGACAUAGUGGGCAUAUUUGUAUCCCAUAGACACGUUGCAAAAAAAAUAAAUUAAAAUUUUGCAUAAGUUAUUUUCAUAUAAAUUCGUCAAUGAGGCUCUCCAAUAAGAUAUAAUGUCGAAAAAUAUUUUGUUGCAAAAGAUUACAUGUCAUACUAGUGGAUUGGAUGGAGAAGACCAUUUUUUUUUCUGAGGUCUAAUAUCAACUCAGUUUAGAAUCUUGUUAUUGAACUACCAAUUUUUCUAAAAGCUUAAACUUAUAAGAUUUGAAUUCAUUAUGCAUAUUAUGCUCGUUAAUAUACACUACCUCAUGAAUAAUUCGUUAAAAUUUUAGAAUAAAAACAAACUAUAUUUACACAUUUUAAAAUUAAAUUAAUUAGUAUUUUUCUAUUUUAGCAUGUAGGUAAAGAUUCCUCAUGCCAAAAUAUCUUCAUUUGUUGGAGAGAUUAGUUGUUGACUUGAAAAUUUUUCGUUUAACUCUUACUUUUCCUUUAAAAGCAUUAAGAUGGUUUGAUAGAAUUAACUUAAUUUUAUUUUUAUUUUUGUAAAAUUAUUAAAUUAGCAUAUUUACCUUUAUUAAUAUUUAUUCAUAAAUAUAUAUGUACAUAUAAAAUAUUGAUCAUUGGGGAAGAAGAUAUUUGGUUUGUAGAAAAAUUAUUUUAUUUUAAUUUAUUAUUAAUUUUUAUUAUUUUUAACUUUAAAACAUUUAAUUGUACUUGUAUAUAUAUUUUAGUUUAUAUUAUUGAUUUAAUUGCUAAAAAGUGGCAAUUGGUGUGCCCCUAAUUUUAACUUUCUGUUGGUCUACAGGCUCAUUAGGUCCAUCAGGGACAGGGCUUCAUAGUUUCAACUUUCAACUAUUUUAGGCCAGGGAACGCUUCUGUUUUCUGUUGGCCCAACUCACAGCCCAUCAAUAUGCUCAUUUUUUUCUAGGCCUCGUAGCUUCAACCCUUUGGGCCAGAGAAUACUUCUGUUUUCUGUUGGCCCAACACAUAGCCCAUCAAUCAAAUAGUACGCUGAUUUUUAUUUUUAUUUUUUUCAAAAUGUCACAUUUUUGGGAGAUUCAAAAUUAAUUACAGGAAAAGAUUUAUGUGAUAACUAAGAAAAUUCAUGGGAUUUUCUUGAAUAAUAAGCACGGGAGAAGCCACUGAGAUAAUAAGAAAACAAAGGGACGUAAAUUUCGUCUGUUGGCCCAAGGCUCAGCCCAACCCAGCCAAUACUUUCAAGACCAAAGCCAGUCCGGCUCACAACCAAGCACAGUCUAAGCAUGGCCCAAUUCCAACUGAUUAAUCUUGGGCUGACUUUUUAAGCUUGAGCCCACGCCCUUGGGCUGGCCCAAGCUAGCCCGGGCAUCAAAACAAAGUUGUAAAUCUAUAAAUAUUAUAAAUUAUAUAAGAUUUAAAUCAUUGUAAAAGGUAGCAAUUCUGAAUAUUUAAAUCCAGUUAAUUUUUUUUUUUUUUUUAUAAAUGUAAUUAUAUACAUCAAAGAGUUAGGCUUAUGAUCGAGCUUAGGCUAGAGUUAAAUUUCUGGACCGGCCCGAACACCAAGAGGGCCCGAGUCAGGCCGGUUUGCAUAGGGAUUCGUCAGGAAAAAUUGUGUGAACUCUGUAUUUUUCAGGGAGAAAGAAACUUGAACUCAUCAAAGUUAACAUUCUUUCCAAUAUAAAGAAGACCAAUGAAUGAAGACGCUUAUACCCUUUGUGACAAGAACCAUAUCCUACAAAAGACACCAUUGGUAUGUAUGAAAAUUAAACUCAUGUUUGUUGUAGGGUUGAAGGAAAAGAUACUAAGCACAAUCAACAGACUUUAGGUUAUGUUUGGUUUUCGAAAAAUUUGAAAGAAAAUAAGGAAAAUAAAAUAUAAAAGAAUAGUAAAAUAAAAGAAAAACUAAUGAUAAAUAAAAAAAAUAGAUUUAAGUUAAUAAAUUAUUUUUAUAAGUUAUUUCAAAUUCAUUUCAUUUAUUUUAACUAUCUAAUAUAAAGAUUAAAUGAUUUGAAAAUGUACAAGUGUCUGACUAAUUUUAAUUAUUUUUUAUUUUUUAUAUUAUAUUCUAUCUUAUAACUAAAUAUGAGAAAAUCAUUUUCUUCAACAUUUUUUUCUUUCUUUAAUAUUUUCCAAGAACCGAAGGUAAGUUUAGGAAAUGAAAUGUUAAUUUUAUUUUUGGUUAAAGAAGGCAUCAAAAUGUUAAAGGUGAUUGAGAGCCGAAUUUAUAAAAAAAAAUAGCAGUUGAAAAUGAUUCCUACCCAUAUUGAUGAAGCAUAUGAGCUUGAGUUAAAAGGGUUACGCUUACUUCAACAAGGUGUCUAUGUUAUAAAAAAUUUUCUUACCUAUAAUAAAAAAAGCUGAAAACUAAUUUCUCAAUGAACGUGAUGUUUGCAAAAAUUCUAUUUUUUAUAAUUAAAAUAUUUUCUCUAUAAAAAAAAAUAUCAAAGGUGUUGUCGCCUCGCGUAUCCGGUGGUCCACGUUGCUGCUAGAUGGAGGGACACGCGAUUCUCAACACACAAAGGGUUCUUGAUUCAGCGAUCAUACCUGCAAGAAGGCAUCCGGACAGGGUGUCCGGACGCACCCUCCGAUGGUUUUGUUAGUCAUGGUGAGGGAGAGGAAUAUAAAUCAGUUGACCUUUUACUAGGUAUUAAAGAGUUACCAGGAGGAUCGCUUUCUUCUUCGUGCGAAGGCAUAUAUAUACAGCUUCAGGGGUACUGUUCCUCUCAUUAAUGGUGAGGAGAUAUUUUAUGUUGUGAUGAUGACAAUAGGUGUCAGUAGGAGCAUUAUCACCCUACGAACGACUGUCAGAAACCAUGGUAGGUGAUGCGGUUGUCAGAGAUCGUGGGAAGGUGAUCAUGUAGAAUGAUCGUGGGAAGUGACUUGCUAUCACUUCAUCUUGUCUUCUCACUCUGCAGGUGACAAGAUGUGGGCCAUGGCUGCUUGUUGUGAUUGCGUGUAAGACUUGCUUUACUUUAAUUGACCAUCCAGACGAUUUAUAUCCGGAUGGCUCAUGCCGAUUAUCCGGAUGUGUUGUGGAGACUAUCCGGAUGUCUACGCUCUGCCAGCGUCGUUUGCUCUUCCUUGGAUAGGAGAAGCUGAAACGUCGUUUGCCUUUCCUUGAGGUGGUCCGGAUAGGAUGACUGCACCAUGCAUAUCCUUAGGGGAAUCCGGAUGGUGAUGGUCCGGCUGAUAACACGUGCCACGCGUCACCAUGAGCUGCGUGCCACGUGUUUCCUAAGGGGAGGGGUCCCUAAAUUGCCCCCCUUUUUAACUUGCCUAUUUUGCCCAAAAAAAUGGGCGGGUUAAAAAUAACUGGCUUUUGAAUAUUGAAGAAGUCCCUUCGUCUGAUUGGGCCACGUGGCGAGUGGGGGUGCGGAAGCCAAAAAGGCAUUUAUGAAGAGUCGCCGACCCUGUGUAUCCCCAGGCAAUAUGUCGUUUCAAUGAUAACACGACUGUCCUGCUAUAAAUAGGGCACUGUACCUCUUUGUGCAUUUUUUCCUACUGCGUUUUCUUGAGAGCCUUUCUUCUUGUUGCUUUUUCCUGCGCCCUUUGCUUUUCUGAGAAAAACUUCGAACGACUUCGUUUGUCUACUGCUGGUGAUUUUGUACCGAGACAGUAACCGUUCUUCUUCUUCAGAGCUUUAUUUGGUACGUACCUCUUUGCUACUGUCAUUCCUUUGGUUGCGUUUGCUGGUUCUUUAAACUUGGUUUCUGGCUUGCUUGGGCAUUGUUUUGGACAGGUCGCUUGCAAUUGUUGUUGGAUGUUGGUAUUUUGUUGGUGUUCGGGGGGGUUUUUGAGAGGUUUUUCUGACUGCUUUAGGUUAGGGUUUGUGUAUUUUCUGACUGCUUGGUUUGAACCGUUGCAUUGCUUUUGUAUGUAGAUUUUGGUUUGGCUUUGUGGUAAGAAAUGGCUUCAAAAAAGACUGUUUCAUCUGCCCGGGUUAGCGAAGCUGGCGAAAAGGCGAUAGACAAAUUAGAUGUGAAGGAAUUCCGGGAGCGGUUCUGCAUCCCAAAUGACGUAUCUAUAGACUUGGUGAACGAGGAGGCGGGUAUGCCUACUGAGAAAGGUGAAGAAAACGUUAUCCUCUUCACAAAGGAACAAUUCAACGCGGGGCUCCGGUUCCCUCUGCCGGCGUUGUUCAAGGAAUUCCUCCACUUCUCUCAGGUUCCACCCAUCUUCAUUCAUCCCAACCUUGUCCGGGUGCUGAUGGGAUGCAGCAUCAUCAACAUGCUGUACAGCCUUGACCUUACGCUACUGGAAGUGUUCUUUGUCUAUUCCCUGAAGAAAGCAAAAAAUGAUAUCUUCAGUGUGUCCGCGCACCUGCCCUCCCUUCAAGUGGUGACAGAGCUGCCAGAUUUAACAAAGGGAGGGGCGAAGGGGUUGGUGGCGGUCCGGGGUGGAUGGGCGGGGCUACCGGAGCGUCCGUUGAGGCCCUUUUCUCCAAAUUAUACCUUAAAAAUUCCGGGUAUUCUUGUUUUGCGAUUCUUUGUCCGGAUUUUACUUUGCUGAUUUUUUUUUUUUUUUUUUGCUGAUUUUCCCGGACGGAAUUCUCACCUUUUGUUGCUGUUAAUGCAGGUCUGGAAUUGAGGGGCCACCUUGUGGAUUGGGUGGAAAAGGCGUCCUUCGCCUGUGUCUGCAAAUUAUUCGAGAUAGAUCCCAAGGAGAGGGCCUACAAGACAUUGCUUUCCGCGCGGAAUUUGAUAGCGGUCGUCCGGGAGUCCCAGGAAUACGUUAUCAAUAUUCUCCCCAGGAAACUGGCAAAGGAAGAGAUAGUGCCUGGGGAGCAUUAUACUGUGAAGGAGCUUCCCCUCUAUCAGGAAGCUAAAGAGGCUGAUGCUGAGAGACGGCGAAAGCUCCUGGAGGAUCGAGAUCAGAGGAAAAAUGAAGGCACUAUCCGGAAGGCUCCCGGACAGAAGCGGGGUCCGGAUUCUCCUCCAAAGAAAGCUCCAGCAAAAAGGAGGAAGCUGGUGAAGAAGAAUGAGAAGGAUGUGAAGGAACCCACUCCUCCCAAGGAGUUUCCUCCUCCGCAAAUUACCUAUGAGGGGGAGGUAAUGAUAGAGGAGCCAGUAAACGCUGCUCCGCACUCUAUCUCAAGCGGCCCCGGACGCAUGUCGGGGUUGAACCAUUCGGGCACUUCCUUGGCCGCGGUUGCGCGUCUGGCUAACGUGGCUGAGGAAGCUACAUCUAUCAAUCGUCCGGGCAACCUUAAUCCGAAUGCUGAUGCAGCUGAAACGACCCCGUUGGAGGAAGCGGGGGCAGAAAGCCAAAGUCAGCCUUCCGACGACCCAGAUCGCUUGGCCAUAGUCCCGGUGAAAGGGCCUCCUUCAAAGAAGCCGCGUUCGACGCGCGAUCUACUGUCCGGACUCCCUGGGCGGCUUCAAGAGCGGCAGCAAGAGAUUGAAGUUAGCUGCGCUUCUACCCAUGACGCUCAUCCAGAUGGAGGCGAGGUGGAGGUAGCAACUGAGACUUCAGCCGCCCCGGCAAUAAUUCCGGCUGAAGGUGCAUCCGGACAUCUUCGUCCGGACGAAGAUGUGGGGGUCCCGAAUCCGGGACAAGAGUCACCUUCUGUUUCCUCAUCUGAGGAGGAACCUGCUGACGACGCAGCUCCUGCUAGCCCUUUCAGCUACGCGGAGUUGGAGGCUAAGCUUAAAACAGAUUACACCCGACUGGAAAGUCGUCAAGCCUUCUGCUAAGAUGUUUGAUAUGAUAGAAACGGUAUACCGUUGUCUUGUGCUUUUGCUUUUUGAUUCUUUGUUGCGCUGAUGUGCUUGUUGUAGUAUGAUUUAUGUCUUUGCUUUUCUUAUUUGUGUGUCAGCUGGUGAGGGGCCUCCGCGGCAUGGCUCAACAACACGAUCUUUUUACUCAGCUGCUGCAGACUGCAGACUAUAUGAGGACCUUCUCCUCUCAGCGCCAAGAGAUUGAAAAUCAGCUGCGUCUGAGAAUGGAGGAGGCUGAGGCCAAUCUAUCCACCAUGCGACAGGAAAAUGAAGCCCUCCGAGUGGAGUUGGCUGAGGCGAAGAGUCGAGAAGAAUCAACUGCGGGCCGCCUAUAUGAGGCGGAAGGUGAGGCAGCCCGGCUAAGGGAUGAAGUGAGUCAACUCCGGACAGAAGUUUGGAAUGAAAAGAAACAGAAGGAAGACUUGCAGCUGCGCCUGGAUGUGCAAAAAGAAGAACUUGAACGGGAUUUUGCUGUGGAAAGGGAGGAACUUGCAGCGGAUUACCAGCAACAAGUGGAUGAUACGUUUAUCUUUGGGUAUCGCUGCUGCAUGAAGAAGAACGGCAUCAAGCGAGAUACCCCUUCAAUUCCUCCGGGUGAAGAAAAGAAACUCCAUGAGAAGCCCGCUCCCUGAUAGUUUAUUUCUUUUUGCAAUUUUUCUGCUGUAAUUUUUCCUUCUGUAUUUUUGUGGUCCGGAGAUCUUUUUGUAAUUACACUUAUUCAUAUCAAUAAAAACAUAUUUCUUUCUCAUUUGGACUUGUGUAUACUUUUUAUUGAUAGUACUGCUUUAAGUUGGACACAUUCCAUGGUCUGAGUAACGGAGUGCCAUCUAGCUUUUGUAAAUGAUAGGCUCCAUUUUCGUUUGCUUUAGACACUAUGUAGGGUCCUUCCCAAUUGGCUUGGAACUUUCCUGCGCCUACUUCAGCAGUAUUUUCAAAAACUUUUCUAAGUACUAGCGUACCAUUUUUGAAGUUUCUGGGCCUGACUUUUCGAUUGUAAUGCGCUGAUGCCCUUUGUUGAUAAUCUGCCAUCCGGAUGGCCGCGCUUUCUCUGACUUCGUCUGCCUAGUCCAAAUUUCUUCCUAGUUCCGUGUUGGCAUCUUCUUGUUUUGCUGCAUCGGUCCGGAUAGUAGGAAAACCUAUUUAAGUGGGAAUGACUGCAUCCAUUCCAUAUGUGAGGGCGAAAGGAGUGUUUCCUGUUGGUCGUCCGGGUGUGGUUCGAUAGGCCCACAGGACGCCGGGUAGCUCCUCCACCCACUUCCCUUUGGCUUGCUCAAGCCUUUUUUUUAAGGCAUUGAUUAGAGUUUUGUUUGUGGCUUCCGCCUGCCCAUUGCUUUAAGGAUAAUGCGGCGUGGAGUAUGAAUUCCGGAUGUUCAGUUCCGAACAGAAAUUCCUGAAUGCAAUGCUGUCAAAUUGUGGACCAUUGUCAGCUAUGAUGAUUUGGGGAAUUCCAAAGCGGCAAACAAUGUUCUUCCACACGAAUUUGAUGACAUCUUUAUCUUUGAUGCUUGCAUAUGCUUCGGCUUCUACCCAUUUACUGAAGUAAUCAGUGGCGACAAGGAGGAAUUUCUUCUGGGCAGGUGCUGCUGGGAAAGGUCACACUAUGUCCAUGCCCCACUGCGCGAAAGGCCAUGGGCCUGAGACCGAUUUCAAUGCUGCCGAUGACAUAUGUGGAAUGGGAGCGUAUCUUUGACAUUUAUCACAUUUUUGGACAUAUGCUGCCGCGUCUUUCUUCAUUGUUGGCCAAUAGUAUCCUUGUGAAUGAGCUCUAUGUGCCAGGGAUCGUCCUCCCGUAUGAUUUCCGCAUAUUCCUUCAUGUAAUUCAGCUAGCACAUACUGGGCCUCUGAAUGCCCAAGACAGCGAAGAUAAGGCCCUGUGAAGGAUCGCUUGUACAGGUACCCCCCAAUCAGGGUGAAACGGGAAGCUUGCACCCGGAUUUUGUGCGCUUGUUUAGGAUCUUCGGGUAAGGUGCCUGUCCGGAGAUAUUUUGCAAUAUCAUGCGUCCAUUCUUGAUCAUUCGCUUGGUUUGCCUCAACGGUGUUGCAAGUGGAAUUUCUUGCGACAGAGGGAUUAACUUGUACAUGGAUAGGCAAUAGAAUGGCUUCUCUGAUGGGGAGGGAAGCAGCUAUACCGGCCAAGGCGUCAGCGCCCCCAUUGUCAGCUCGCUUAAUUUUUUCGAUUGUCCACUCGGUGAAUUGCUGUAAGGUGCUUCUUACUUUGGCCAAGUAUCGCGCCAUGCGUGCGUCCUUAGCCUCAUAUUCUUUCUAGACAUGCCUUACCACUAGUUGCGAGUCGCUGUAUAUCCGGAGUUUGGAGACGGAUAGAGCAAGGGCGAGGUCCAAUCCGGACAGGAUGGCCUCGUAUUCUGCUUCAUUGUUAGACGCGGGGAAUCCCAGCCGGAUGGCUUGCUCCAGAUGUUCCCCAGUUGGGGACUGCAAUAAGAGCUCGACUCCAGAUCCUGAUGAACGUGAGGCUCCAUCAACUCGCAGAGUCCACCAUUCUUUUUUACUUGAUUCUUCAUGCUGGCCGGGUUUUCGGGAAUAUUCUAGCACGAAGUCAGCCAUUACCUGGCCUUUCAUGGAUAGCCUUGGUUGGAAUUCAAUUCCAAACUCGCUUAAUUCGAUGGCCCAUUGUAGCAUUCUCCCGGUUAAAUCUGGCUUGUGCAAAAUGUUGCGAAGGGGUUGAUCAGUCAACACGAUCACCGGGUGGGCUUGAAAAUAGGGGCGGAGCUUUUGAGCAGCACUUCGAAGAGCUAAGGUUGUUAGCUCCAUUUUUGAAUACCUGGUUUCUACAUCUACCAAUGCUCUGCUGACAUAGUAGACAGGUUUCUGCUCCUUUGGUGAAGGGCAGCGGAAUAGAACGGCGCUGAUUGCCCAUUCUGAGACAGCCAGAUACAUGUAUAGCUUCUCCUUUGGGAUGGGGCUGCUCAAGAUGGGUGGAUGCAUAAGACAACGUUUAAUUCUUUCCAAAGCGUUUUGGCAAUUGUCCGUCCACCCGUGCGUUCCAGCUUUUCGUAUUGCCAAGAAGAAGGGUCGCAACUCAUCAGUGAAGCGGGCUAUGAAACGUCCUAACGCCACGAGUUUGCCUGUGAGGCGCUGUAACUCUUUCUUGUUCCUGGGAGGGGGUGUUUCAAUGACUGCCUUGACUUGAUCCGGGCUGACUUCUAUGCCUCUCUGGCUGACCAUAAAUCCCAGGAACUUGCCAGCGCUUACUCCAAAGGCGCAUUUAGAAGGAUUUAGCUUCAUGCCAUACCUUCGCAAGAGAUGAAAAACUUCUUGUAAGUGAAGAUCAUGCUGCUCUCGGGUUUUGCUUUUAACCACAAUGUCAUCAAUAUACACUUCUACCGUGUGGCCUAUUAGUGGUUUGAAGAUUUUAGUCAUUAAUCUCUGAUAAGUGGCGCUAGCAUUUUUGAGUCCGAAUGGCAUGACUUUGUAGCAGUAGAGGCCAUGUGGUGUUAUGAAUGCUGUUUUUUCUUCGUCAUCCGGGGACAUGGGGAUUUGAUGAUAUCCGGAGAAGGCAUCCAAGAAAGAGAGCUUCCCUUGCCCGGAAGUGGAAUCCACAAUCUGAUCUAUUCGCGGUAAGGGAAAACUGUCUUUUGGACACGCAUUGUUGAGAUUGGUGUAAUCUACACAAACUCGCCAUUUUCCUUCUUUUUUGGGUACCACGACUACGUUUGCCAACCAAUCCGGAUAAGAAACUUCUCUGAUG
RNAcentral lists this long non-coding RNA (56948 nucleotides) under Vitis vinifera (wine grape). RNAcentral describes it as "long non-coding RNA (VVIN_LNC005632)". The record is from RNAcentral. Lineage: Eukaryota; Viridiplantae; Streptophyta; Magnoliopsida; Vitales; Vitaceae.